Molecule: long non-coding RNA, 70272 nt
Filed under: Ananas comosus (pineapple)
Lineage: Eukaryota; Viridiplantae; Streptophyta; Magnoliopsida; Poales; Bromeliaceae
Description: long non-coding RNA (ACOM_LNC001668)
Source: RNAcentral
UAAAAUUUUUUUUAUAUAUCUAUUUUUUUUUGGUGGUUAGUUAAUUAACUUUUUAUAUCACUCUCUUAAUUAAAAAAGUUGGUGAGGUGGAAGAAUAUAUUUGAAAAGAUAAAAAGUCAAAAUAUUUUUUUUGUUCUUAAAAAAUUGAUGACGAUAGAAAAGUAUAUUUGAACGGACAAAAUAAUAAUUUUACAGAGAUAACGAUAUAGAAUUUAACCUUAGAAAUAUAUUUGAAAUAACUUGAAAUAUUAAAAUAAUAUUUUUAAUAUUAAACUUCUAAGAGAGGUAAUAAAAUAAUAUCGAGAAUUUUUCAGAAAUAUAUAAACAAUUGCUUCUAAAAUAAAAUAUUAGAAAACCAUAUUAAAAUAGUCUCGAAAUUAUGACCAUGUUCUUGUAAGUGUAUCCUAAUAAUAUCUCACCACUUAAUUUCCAUAAUAAGUAUUAUUAAUUCUUGAACCAAAUUAAUAUUCACUAAUUUGUCACAAUCUCUAAUCACCAUCUACAAUAAUUUAGUGCAAGUAAUUAGUAAAAAGCCAAAAACAAGAUGAGAAUCAAUUGUUCUCAGGAAUCAUAAUUUCCUCCUUUGGGAAAAGAAAAUAAUGAAUUUUUUUUGAAAAAAUGUAUGGAGCCCCAUCAACUACAUUUAAUUUGAAAUAGACCCCUCAACUGUUAUAGGUAUUUAGAAUUUUGUACUUUUAAAUAAAAAAUUAAAAAAUUUUGUUAAAUUUGUUGAUGAUUUUACUGAAUUCAAUCACUUAACUCAACUUUAAACAAAUAAACUAAACCAAUUAACAAUUAGUCCUAAAUAGAGCCAUUAAAUUUAAUUAAAUAUUUAAUGUAGCUAAAUAUAAAAAUAAAUUAAAAAAGCCAUAUAAUUGAGCGGUCUCAAUAUAUUUUUAACUAAAACUUAAUUUUCUCUACUAUUAUUAGGUGCACCGCAAAACUUUUCCUAAUGAGUCAAUAAUUUUUUUUGGCUAAAUUACAGAAAACCCCCCUGUAAUAACCCGCUUUUUCACUUUUCCCCCCUGACAUUUAAAAACCUACACUUUGCCCCCUUGUAAAAUGAAAAAUGUGCACUUCACCCCUACUGUUAGGGUUCCGUUAGGGGUUCUGUUAAAAAAUAUUUUUUUAUACCGAAAAUACCCCUCUGCCUCUUCUCUCAUGCUUCGCUCUCUCCGGCUCGCCGCUUCGCCGCCUCGCCGCCUCGCCGUCCUCCACUGCUUCGCCCUCGCCCACAUCCCUUUCGUCCUCCUCCGCCACCUCGCCUUCGCCCUCGUUGUCCCUACCUACCUCUCCAUCAACACCCAUCUUAAUAUCCUCCCUACUGUCGCCAAAAUCGAUAGGCGGCGACGGUGUAGGAGGAGAAGGGGAGCAGGUGGAGAAGAAAUUGGAGAGGAAUCGUGGCCGAUUGAGGUGAAAAUAGCGGCGGAUCGAAGGGGCGGCUGAGGAAGCUCAGGAAGAAGACAACAAUGGCGAGGGGCAAAAUGAUCAUUUUACACACCGUGACCUUCCUGUGAAUAUUUUUCAUUUUAUAAGGGGGCAAAGUGUAAGUUUUUGAAUGUCAGGGGGGGGAAGUGAAAAAGCGGGUUAUUACAGAGAGGUUUUCUGUAAUUUAGUCAUUUGUACUAGUUAUCUAGUAAUCUCUGAUUUAAUCUGUUGAUUAUAUAGAAAAACUGAUCUAUUAACUAAUAUUUAACAAUAUAUUAUUUAUUUUUAUUUAAAUUAUUGUUAUUUAGGAUAUAGUUGUUGUUGUUAUAUAUAGAACUAGACUGGAAUACUCUCAAUAGCACUAAGCUAUUCGUGCUAUUAAGUUUUCGGCAUUUGGAUGAAAAAAUAUACGGUUAGGAUAAUAUGGAUCUCCUAGGGUUGAGUGAGUUAUUAAUUUAAUAGUAUAAUCUAACAGAUAAAAAUAGUUAAAGAGUUAAAGCUAACAGCGGAAAAUUGAUAGUACCAAACACUUGGUGCUAUCAAUAGUAUCCCAGCCGAACUAUCUUAUUGAUAAAUUAAGAUAUAUAUAAAGUAGAAAAUAGUGAUUAAUUUAUAUUUUUUUAAAGUUAUUUAGAAAUCAAAGAUAUAUAGACCAUUAAAGAGGACACAAAGCAUUUGUCUUUCCCAAAAGAGAAAAUACAUGGCCCCUAUUCAAACAUCAAUAUCUCUCUCAUCCCCUUUACCUUUCUCUUUUUACAGGGCAACAUCCUUUCCCUUUGCAAGGUAUGCUUUUUUUGAAGGGAAAUAAUUACCAGGUAAAAAUGUAUGGAGACCCCCUCAGGUAUAGGAGAUUUUGUAAUGGCCUCCUCAGCUUUUAUUUAUGUUUUAUUAGAAUAUUUUAAACUUCUAAUUGCUUAGAAUUAAGUGAUCUUAGUUCGAAAUUAUGAAAGUUUUGAAAAUUGAUUGCUUGAUUUCAUCAAAUUUGAUGACUUAAUUUUUUAAUUAAUAAAAAGUAAAUAAAUUAAAUAAUUAAUAAUUAAUACAAUUAUAACUUAAAAUAAAAUUUUAAUUUAAUUAUGUAAAAGUUUUAAAUAAAGAAAUAGAAAUUGAGAAAUCUCAAUGAAAAAACAAAAAAUAGUUGAGUGACCAAUUUCAAAACGUUCUAUAGUAGAGGGGAGUCUCCAUGCAUUUUUACCUAAGAAUGGCAUACAUUCACACAUACACACCCAUAGAUUUCUUUUAGCCAAUAUUUUUUUCAUUUUGUAUUUUGUCAAUUUUUUUUAAAAUUUUUAUCAAAUCAUGUUUGGUUGGGGGUUAAGGAGUGGAAUAACCCCUUAACCCCCAUAUUAUUUCCAAACACCUUCAAAAAUGGAUGAGAUUAGCUAAUCCCACCUCAAAUGGACUAUUUCAGAUUAGCUAACCCCACCUAACCCUACCAAAUCCGAACCAAACACUAUUUUCUAUUCAUAAUAACCCACUAUCCUUCUUAUCCCACAUACUCCAACCAAACACUAUUUUUUACUAUUCUGGACUAACUCAACCCCCAACCAGACACAAAAAUACUCUAACUCCACCUUAACCCUGAACUUAACCUUAUCCCUGGAAUAACUAGUUUUUUCUUAACCCCGAACCAAACGGUUAAAAAAGUUAUGUCAACUCUUGAAUGGUCCAUAACUAUAAUAUUAAAUUACAAUUUUGAUUCUUAAAUUUUUUAACUAACAAAAUAAUAAUUUGUAUGUGAAGGUGAGAGUGAUAUAAUAAUAUUAUGAUUAAUAAUACUAUAAUAAUUAAUGUGCCAUAUUACUUGUCCUUAUACACGUCAAUAUUUAGUUAACUGAAUUGAAAUUGUGAUUUGAGCAAAAAUUAUACCCUAUUCGCACAAGUCUUUGCAAAUAUAGUGAAUUACAAAUAUAUUUCUAUAAAAUUCAAUUUUUAUAUAUUGUUUUUACAAAAGUCCUAACAUUUUCAAAUAUGUCCCCGUCGUUAGAAUUCAUUAAAAAAAAUUUAUUAAUCAUAGAUUAAAUACUUAAUUUUGGUUAGUUUAUGAGAUAACUUGACAUUUUUGCCGCUCUUAUAUUACUGUUGUGGUUUUCGAAGGGACAUCUGUAAUAGAAAAAAAUUGACAUUUUACUUAAAAUAUAAACAGUAUUAUAAUGGUAAGAAAUCAAAAGGGCAUAUAUAAAAAUAUUAGAACUUUUGCAGAAACAAUGCAUGAAAGUUGAACUUUAUAGCAGUGUAUUUGUAAUUUAGUAUAUUUGUAAGGACCUGUAUGCAUUUAACCCAUAAUUUUCGAACCAAAACUAUAAUUUUAGUUCGCCAUUUGUACCCUCCAACCAUUAAAUUUUAGAGAGAAAAGAAAAGGAAAAAAAAAAUCAAAAUUUAUUGAUAUAAUAUAUCCCGUAAUCUCUAUCUUGUACCCAUUUUUGUGAGAAGCGAGAGAGAUUGUGAGGUGAAGGAGUACAUCGCAAGCCUCUCCCGCAAUGGUGAAGAAGAAGCUUCCGCUUCACUCCCCCAUUCUCCUUUUCUUUCUCCUCCUCCUCCUCAAACCAAAGCCCACCAUUCCCCCACAAAUCUAAACCCUCCCUCCCUCCCUCCGCAUAAUCGCCAUGAACGCCCGCAUAAACGUCCUUCUCGUCGUCGUCGUCGUCCUCGUGCUGCUGCCUGGGGGUGUAUUAUGCGAGACCGACCCGGGCGACUAUGCGGUGCUUGACGAGUUCCGGAAGCUUCUGGACAACCCGGAGAAGCUGGGGUGGCCGUCGGAGGGAUCCGACCCGUGCGGGCCCCCGCUGUGGCCCCACGUGUACUGCUCCGGCUCGCGCGUGUCCCAGAUCCAGGUCCAGAACAACCGCUUCCGCGGCCCCCUCCCCUCCCUCCGCGGCCUCCCCGUCCUGCAGUUCGCCUUCCUCAACGACAACCUCUUCGACGCCGUCCCCCCGGACUUCCUCGGCGCCCUCCCCGCCCUCCAGGUCCUCUCCCUCGACUACAACCCCCUCAACCUCACCACCGGCGGUUGGUCCCUCCCGCCCGACCUUACGGACUCCUCCGCCCUCGUCAAUCUCACCCUCUCCCGCGCCGGCCUCGUCGGCCCCAUCCCCGACUUCCUCGGCGCCCUGCCGUCCCUCGCCGUCCUCCAGCUCUCCUACAACAAUCUCUCCGGCCCCCUCCCCGCCUCCUUCGCCGGCCUCUCCAGCCUGCACACCCUCUGGCUCAACAACCAGCAGGGCGCCGCCGCCCUCUCCGGCCCCCUCGACGUCCUCCCCUCCAUGACCAUGCUCGCCGACGUCUGGCUCCACGGCAACGCCUUCUCCGGCCCCAUCCCCCCCUCCGUCGGCGCCCUCUCCGCCCUCACCCGCCUCUGGCUCAACAGCAACCGCCUCGUCGGAUUGAUCCCCACCAAUUUGACCUCCCUCCCCGCCCUGCAGUCCCUGCAGCUCGACAACAACAUGCUGGUCGGCCCCAUCCCCGCCGUCCGCUACAACUUCACUUACACCGGCAACUCCUUCUGCUCGUCCACCCCCGGCGCUCCCUGCUCCCCGCAGGUCGCCGCGCUCUUGGAUUUCCUCGGCGGCGUCAACUACCCCUACAGGCUCGCGCAGUCUUGGUCCGGCGACAACCCUUGCUCCGGGAACUGGAUCGGGGUUUCGUGCUCCGGCGGCGGUAAGGUUUCGGUCAUCAAUCUGCCGAAUUUCGGGCUGAACGGCACGAUCAGCCCGUCGUUGGGCGAGUUGGACGGCCUCGUCGAUAUCAAACUCGGCGGAAACAAUCUUACCGGAACCAUUCCCGCGAAUUUAACCUCGCUGAAAUCGCUCGCGACGUUGGAUGUGUCUUCGAAUAAUUUGAAGCCCCCCGUUCCGGCUUUUAGCAGCAGCGUGAAACUCCUUGUCGACGGAAACCCGGCAUUGACCGGUUCGUCUCCGCCUACUAGCGGUUCCCCUCCUUCGCCCGGUUCUCCGGGUAAUGAGAACAAUUCGCCGAAUUCUCCGAGCAAUUCUCCUCCCUCUGAAGGCGGCGGAGGAUUCACCAAGAGCUCUAAACAUUUUAAUGCCCUAGUCGUGGUGAUUCCGAUCUUUGUCGGGGUAAUUUUGAUAAUCUCUGCUGUUGUUUUCCUUUUGUAUCGGAGGCAGAAGGGGAAAAAGAAUGGAACGGCGCCUAGUCCUAUUGUUAUUCAUCCUCGAGACCCAUCGGAUCCCGAUAAUAUGGUUAAAAUUGUGAUUGCGAACAACACGAACAAUAACGGCUCGCUAUCUAGCGAUCUUCGUAGCGGAGAGAGCAGCGUAUCGAGCAACACUCGCAUCAUCGAGGCGGGCAAUUUCAUAAUCUCGCUUCAAGUCCUUCGCAACGCCACGAAAAACUUUGCGCAGGAAAAUGUUCUCGGGCGGGGAGGAUUUGGGGUGGUCUACAAGGGAAUGCUGCAUGACGGGACGAUGAUCGCAGUUAAGAGGAUGGAGGCGAGCGUUCUGAGCAACAAAGCGAUAGACGAAUUCCAAGCUGAGAUUGCCGUGCUCACUAAAGUGCGCCACCGUAAUUUGGUCUCCAUACUGGGCUAUUCCAUAGAAGACGCCGAGAGGCUUCUUGUUUACGAGUACAUGCCGCAAGGGGCUUUAAGCAAGCACUUGUUCCGGUGGAAGCAGCUUGGUUUGGAGCCCUUGUCGUGGAAGAAGCGGCUUAAUAUUGCGUUAGAUGUAGCCCGAGGAAUGGAGUACCUCCAUAAUUUGGCUCAUCAGUGCUUCAUCCAUAGAGAUCUCAAGUCGUCGAACAUUCUACUCGGCGAUGAUUACAGAGCUAAAGUCUCUGAUUUUGGACUUGUUAAGCUUGCACCCGAUGGGAACUCUGUGGUGACCAGACUUGCUGGGACUUUUGGAUACCUUGCGCCUGAAUAUGCUGGUAAGGGCUUCUUGUUGUAUAUAUUUCCUUAGCAGCUCAUAUUGUAUUAGUUUUAUAGAUGAUUUUAUUCUUGCUUUAAAUGUUCGAGGUAAAAUUUGAAUGUAGUGCAUCGAAGGAAACAUUAAGUUGUCUUCUUUGUGGUUGUAGAAUAGGAAUUAUUAUAAUUGUUUUCCUAGUGUCUAAUAUUUUCAUUUGUAUAGCUUCAGUCGAUCAUUUUUGUGCUAGCUUUAAAUGUUUGAAAUAGUGUUUGAUGUUUGGAAUAAAAUUUGUAGCGUUGCAUAAAGUUCAGUGCUUAAGUGGUUCAGUUGUCAUGUUAAAGAGAUGAAUUUCUAGAUGAUUGUUUAUGUUGUUUACUCUUGAAUGCCAGCUAGUAAUCUUUUCUUCUCAAUUGGGAAAGAUAUUCAUACUAUAUGCCUUCAUAAAAUUCAACAUUUCUAACCUAAUGUGAUAUCUGUCUAACUAUCUUUCUAGCCUCCGAUUUCUUGCAAAUAUUGGGUCUUAUUAUGUAUGAGAAGCAAUGCAUUGAAAAUUUAAAUUUAAAGGAGCAGAUACAUUACUUUUUUCCUGAUCUACAACACUGCAUGCAACGCACAUUCAAAAAUCAUCUAACCAUAGCUGAUCAAGUGCUAUAUUAGACAGUGCAUUUUCUACGAUAGAUUCUCACUAUACUUUAUUAGGCUGUAGUUUCUUUUAUACCCUUUAAGUUUCUAAAUUACCAAGUCAUUCACAUGAAUAUAAGAUAAUGUGCACAUGUACUGUAUAAUUUGUUAGUUAGUUCGUUUUGUCACCGUAUUUUUAAUCUCAUUUCUGCUCUCUUUUUUGUUUUCUUCAGUGACUGGGAAAAUCACAACAAAAGCUGAUGUCUUCAGCUAUGGUGUGGUUCUGAUGGAGCUAAUAACGGGCCUCAUGGCCCUCGACGAGUCCCGGGCGGAGGAGACGCGCUACCUCGCCUCAUGGUUCUACAACAUCAAGAACUCCAAAGAAAAACUAAGGGCGGCAAUUGACUUGUCUCUCGAUGUUACAGAUGAGACCUUCGAGAGCAUACGCAUUAUUGCGGAGCUUGCGGGCCACUGCACGGCCCGUGAGCCACACCAGAGGCCUGACAUGGGCCACGCGGUGAACGUGCUUGCCCCGCUGGUCGAGAAGUGGAAGCCCAUUAAGGACGAGCAGGAAGAGUAUUUAGGAAUUGACUUUCGCCAGCCUCUCCUUCAAAUGGUGAAAGGGUGGCAGGCUGGUGAUAGCACGACUAGCGACGUGAGCACUGUGGGCCUGAGCCUUGAUGAUAGCAAAGGGAGCAUCCCGGCCCGGCCUGCAGGGUUCGCGGAGUCCUUCACGUCUGCAGAUGGACGGUGAAUAAGCUUUUCUUUUGUUUUUUAUGUCUUGGGUCUAGUUCUUUUACUUUAAAGCAGAUAUCUUUUGUUUGUGUUCAGCAUGUAGAUAGAUAGCAUUAUAUGUGUAUGCCAUGUUUGGACGGAGGUUUUGACCCCGUUUUGUUUGGUAUAAAAUAGUUCAUGGUAAACUAGCGCUCACUUGCAUGAGCUCAGUUGUUUCUGGGAUAUGUUCUUGUUCAGGCAAUAAUUUAGAUAAAAUGGAGCUUCAAUGGCUUCUUUUUAUUUUAUAUAAUCUGCUAUAUUCAGCUUUUUUCCUUGUCUUAUAUGGUUCAGUUACUUGCCCACUUCUUAUUAGUUCAUCAAAACCUCUUCUUUUCCUUUUAAGUUUUCUCUCAAUGCUUUCUUUCCGAUUGUAAGAGAGUGAGAAUGACGGCAGGGUUUUCUUCUGAUUCAUUGCCUGUUGUUCUGUUAAUAUAUAUGUGUUAUGAAUGUGGCAUAAUCAUUGUUGCCUAAUGUAGAUUUAUAGUUGAUAUGUAAAAUGCUUACCAUACAAGUUGUAAAUUAAACAUAGGGCAAAGCAGUUUGUUUUUGUUAGUUUUGUGAUUUGGGAGCUAUAACUGUGAAAUAAUUUCUCCUUUUUAUAUAAAUAUAACUAAGCCUGAUUAAAUUCUGUUGUACAUACAUGUCAUGUUAUUUGAGAUAGAUUUAAAUAUAAAAUUUAAGUCCAGAGGAUUACUAUUUGGGUAUCUCCACUUGCGGAAUUAUUGUUCACAUAUAGAUGCAAAAGAGGCACCCAUCAUGCCUAACUUGUGGGUCUAUUUAACUUGACGGUGAAAGGAGAAUCUGUUUGUAUUUGUUGGUUGUUACUCUUUAUCACAUAUAUGAAGUUUCUUUUCGGUACAGCUGGAUACGAUCCGAUCUGACACAAUAAUGAACUGAAAAUAAUGUGAUGUGUGGCAUUAUUGUACUCAUAUAUCUUCUGUUUGAUAAAGUUGUUUGACGAGUCAAUAACCGCUUUUUCGUUAAUACUCUUCGAUGUGAUUAACUCUAAGAAAGUUUUAAUUGCAUUUGCUUAUGUUGCUCUGAAUUUCCUUUUGUUUUUAGUCCGUCAAAUGUCUAAUAACUUGAUUCAUGCCAGGUAAAAGUAGUAGUAACUAUUUGGCCUCGCUCUCAGGUACGGUAGUAUUUCAGCAGCAUACUAUUUUGAAAUCGCUUUUCUCUCUUCAGUAUAAUCCAGAGUUUCAAAUUGGAACUUGCGCUUCCAUAAGUUUCAGAAUCUCAUUUCUCCUAUCGGAGCAAAUGCCGCUCCAAAUGAUUGAUGAUAAAAAUAGACGCAGAAGCGGCGCUAACCGGGCAUUAUAAAGAUGAGAGAGACAUUAUGAUGGAUGGUUCUAAACCAUGAAAAUGGCCUUCUGCCAUGAUUGGGGGUCUUUUCUGACACCCUAAAAUGUGUUUCAGUGCCUGAAAGUGGCGGGAAUUGGUAUCUUGGACCACAAAUGAUAAGUCACAAGCCAUCACCAUCACCACAAACAGACACUUCCCUGUGCUUUUCUAGAUCUAGAAGUGUUACCACUUCCUAACAUCAUUAAAAUAGUUUGUUGUGGUUGAUGUUUCUGGAAGGAAAAUGAUAUGGUAUCUAUCUACUAUUCAUUAUCCACCACUUGUUUUUGCUGUCCAGGUAAUAGUGCUGUGAAGAGAAAGAGCUUUUGUGCUUCUUAAAUAUCACUGUAAAAUCCAUACUUGGAUUUAAAUUUGUGUGGUUCUAACCAACCUGAUUAUUUAACCCCUUUUUUAACAUGUUAGUUGCUGCUCUACUUGGAUCUAUUGAGGCUCAACUUAAGGGUUUUAACUUACUAGCUGUUUACUUGUCUACAAGAACAAGUUUAUUUCUUUAAUGAUUGUUAAUUAUUUGCGCUUUCAUGUAUCUAGGAAGCUAAAUUUUUUUAUUUUCAUAAGGUAAAGAUUCAUUUGCUUGAGGAUAAUGGUAUCAACUGUUCUAAUUUUUUUUAAUACCAGAUUGUAUUUUUUUGAAUCUUGUCAAAACUGAUUAAAUAAUCAGUAACUAUCUUUAAUGAAUCUAUCUGUCAGUAGUAAUUUCUGGUCGGCUAAUAUUACUUCUCUUUACUUAACCCUUCAUAGGAUGGAGGUGAUAUUAAUAUAUUUAUUUUUGAAAAAUAACAUGCUUUCCAAUUUGUAUAUGUAUGUAGAAUUAGAAAAUCUUUCAUUAGCUACCUGUUUGGUUCCUCGAAAAAGUAUGAAANUUUUCAUAAAAUUUGAAAAAUAACAUGCUUUCCAAUUUGUAUAUGUAUGUAGAAUUAGAAAAUCUUUCAUUAGCUACCUGUUUGGUUCCUCGAAAAAGUAUGAAAAAAGAAACUUUUUUUUUUUUUCACUUUUUCGCCUGUUAGGUUAAAAAAACUAGCUCCUUUGAAAAGCUUUUCUUUUUCAAAUUUUAUGAAAAACUAGUUUUUUCGUUUUCCUAAAAAGAAAUCCAAAAAAUAAAAACACUAGUUAUUUUAUAAAAUAUGAAAAAAGAAAAAAUCUAAAAAAAUAAGUUUUUCUAGAAAUUUUUUUUUUCUAUUUUUUUUUUUAGAGAAACCAAACAAUUCUUAAAAUGAUAUAGAACACACAUCACAAGCCAUUCAAUCUUAUCCACGUGAAUCUUAUGACAGUCUUUUAACCAUUAUCAAAAUUUUACGUGCAUGUAAUUGUGCUUUGGAUGUAGGGACUAUUAGAUUCACCAACUAGAUUUAAUAAAUUUAUUUAUUACUAUCAUAAUUAGAUUUUCUAGCUUUUGGCCUAAAUAUAUAUUAUAUACAGAGAGAGAGAGAGAGAGAGAGAGAGAGAGAGAGAGAGAUCCAUGGCUUAAUUUGUUUCAUCACGCACCCAUGUCUCCUAAAACUACCCUCCUAAACCAAAAAAAAAAACAUAAAAAAAGAUCAUCUUGCUUAAAACAAUACUUAGCUACUUAUUUGCUUGUGGUCAACUACUUGUACCAAAAGUAUAUUUGUGUGAUCAUGUGUUAAAAUUAAGUCAAAAAAAUACAAGAAAACAAUUGUGAGUGUGAGAUCGUUUGUUGCGCCUCUCCUUAUGGAGGAGAAAGUGGGGGAAAUUCACCCAUUCAUCCCCCCCCAUAUAUCACGCAUGUUCUCGCUUUUAGAAGAAGCACUUUUUCUCGCAUGAGAUACAGCUGUAAACGCGUGCUCUACCCUUCUCAAUAUUCCACCAAAUAUUUCAAUUUCGAUGGCGACGCAUUUUAUACAGUCCAAUGUGUAGUAUUUUUUUUUCUUAUUUAGUUGCUAUAUAAUUUUACUGUUGUUCUAUGGAAAACAAUAAUAUACGCAUUCACAAAAUGAGUGGUUAUACCAAAAUUCUUAAAAGUUGUUAUAAAACUUAACAAAGCUAAAAUUUCUGAAUCUCCGCAAUUACAUUUUCUGACAAUACUGAAGAAGACCUAUAUUGCACUAUAUAUACACUUCACAAUAAAGUUACAGAAUAAUCUAAACAGCUGCGAGACAUCGUUUGCUAAGAAUGCAGCCGACCAUCCAAUAUGUUUCAAUUUUGAUGCUAAUCGUUAUACAGUUAGGUGUGUGGAAUUUUUCUUAUGCAUCAGUUAUUUUCUGGUUUUUGCGGGCUAUUCAGAUAGUAUCGUUCAUAUUGAAUUAUCAGGAUGCAUUUCGCCGAUGAUAAAUAGAUGGAUAGCUUCGUAGGGAAUCGUGUCUGAAUUUGAUUAAUAUUCAGGUACAAAUCAAUUUUGAUUUCUCACAAGAGAAAACAGAGAAUAAUGAAGCUAGAAGUGGCUCACUUGUCUUAGUCCUUGGCAAAGCAACUGGUGACUUAAAAAAGAUAGUAGAAGUCUCUCUCUCUCUCUCUCUCUCUCUCUCAUUCUCUAGAAAAAAACAAAGUAUUAAAAACAGAAUUGAAAUGGAGAUAAGAAAAAUAGAGCAUAAAAUAUUUAUGCGUUUUGAUCGCUGGCUUAUGUCGACGUGCGAAAAUGAAACAUAAGUUAUAAUAAAAAUAGAGCAAAAAUUUUCAUUAUGAUCAAAGUAUUGUACAAAAUAUGUUCUGCUUACAAAAUUCUAGUUUUAAAAUACAUGCAUACUCCCUUUUAUUUGCGGCACUAAAUCAAUAGGAUAAAAGCUAUAUUUAUUUUUUUAACUAAAAUCUCAAUACGAUUAGGCAUAAUUUAAAUUUAACUUAAUAAGAUAAUCAAAAUAGUAGAAAACUCUUGCGGUUCUAGAAUUUGAGACAUAUCUAACAAAUUUGUUAGAUAUGUCUAACAACUCUUUUUUUUUUUUCUUUUUUUUUUUUACUAAGAGAUAAGUAGCACGCUACCCACUUCGUUUAUUUCAUAUAGAAAUAAACUUAGUUGAAAAUGUGAAUCAACUAGGAUUCGAACUUGGAACCUCGGGUACCAACCACCAAGCCCUUUGCCACUUGCUCUAGGAGCGGUCGGUAAAUAACAACUCUUUGAGGUAAGGAAAAAUUACUGUAUUAUGUGGCUAGCCCUUUAUUUCUAUUAAAUAUAAAAUAUAAUGGAAUACUGAUAGUCUCUAGUGCAAGCGAUAAAAAAUUUGAUAGUUAGUAUCAAAGAUCCCAGGUUUGAAACCUAAUGCUUCACAUUUCUAGCUAAUUUUACAGGAUGUUCUAAUUUCGAAUUCACACUUCAAACAACUCACCCUAAGACCGAUGUAAAUUAAAUCUGACAUUGAAACAUGAAACUCAAAUUUAAAACAUUUAGGAUUCGUUUGGGAUUGGGGUACAAUUGCGUUACGUGCAGUGAAAAAAUACAAUGGGAAAAUACUCUGUUUGUUUCCGUACGUAAUAUUGUAUUCUGGAUAUUGCGAUGAGUCGAUUAUAAUUUUUAUUUGCGAUCCCAUCGGAGAAAGCAGAAGCAUAUCACUAUAUAUUUUUUCCCUAACUUCAUUUUAUUUAAUAUCGUUAGAUAGACCUUAAUACCAAACUAAGCCUUAAUAGGAGAUCAAACCUCCGACCUCAAAAUCGGCCUCCGAGUAGGUAUCUAACCACUAGAUCAACUUUCCCAAAAAGCCACAACAGGCCCAUAAUCAAAUUGGUCUAAAAAAUAUUUAGGGGUGCUGAUAUUUUGAAGUGAACCAAGCCCCAUUAAGUCCAAUUCGAAACAUACCAGUGACACAAAAGCAGAGGUUAUAUAAAACAGUGAACAUUCAAUUCACACAUACACCACAUAUAAUACAUACAAAUUCAAAGGCCCAAAAUCAUAUGAAAAAGACACUUCCAAUUUAUCUGAUGAGAAUGUGAUGCCUUAUAUGCAGAAGAAACAAAGAAAAGCACUUUGUAGAGGAGCUUGAGGGCUCAAUGAUGGUUAAGCCCCAUUUGUUUCCUUGUCCUGUGAACAAACAAGUCCCGCGACUUGAACAGUCCCGGUAACGGCCCGACCAUCGUCAUGAACGGCAAUUGCGCCACCGCUUCUUUCCUUCCCAACGUCACCAUCGCCAUCGCCGAUCCGGGCUUGUAAGACGCGAGUUUGCCCUCUUUUGCUCCGGCUGCAAGCAGCUUCAAGUUCUUCGCCGCCACCAUCGCGUGCCGUUGCGCCAAAAAUCCUUGUUUAAGUUCCUGCCCACACAAUGCAUGUUACGAAUCAAGGGUAAGCGAAUAACAUCUUAUAUGACACUUGCAAACACUAUCAGAAACUCUCCCGCUUCAAUUCGGAUGAUGAAACAUCUGAAUCAACAAUCGAUGCCAGCGACCUCAAAUGCACCUCUUAUUUGCCAUUAAAAGUUGUAGAGGUUUGUAUGUCAUAGAUCAUGUUUAACAGUAUCAAUCUUCAAUUUGAAAUGCACCAUUACUGGAAUGCAGAAGUAAAAGAGUCAUUUCUGUAAGUCGGUUUGUGUUAGAAGUUUCUGCAAAUCAUACAUUAAAAUUCAGAUUUUGGAGGUAUGUGUAUGUAAAGAUUGCUGAAAUUAGUUCGAAAAUCAGGCUAUCUUUUCGAAGAGCACACACACUUCAUUCUUAGGAUUUGCGAAUAAGCAGUAAACGAAAAGUUAACAGCAAAAACUUACAGGAAUAUCGGUAAUGUCUCCGAUGGCGAAAAUGUUACUGUGCCCUCUUACUCUCAAAUGCUCAUCCACCAUCAGCCUCCCAUACUUAUCCAAGCUAUUCUUCAAUGCUGUUUCGGCGAGCCACGACGAACCCAACGGUCGAUCCACGCAAAGGAAGUGGCUGUCGGCUUCGAUGGUUUCUCCAGACGAAGUUGUGUAGACUCUAUCAGCUUCUGAAAUAGAGUUCAAGUCCACUGACUGAUCCAAAAGCACUUCCACUUUCUUCGACUUCAACCAAUUUAGCGCUUUGUUGCUCGCUUUGCGUCCGAUGAAUUCCAGCAACCUUGGCCCGUUGUGAACCAGAGUGACCUUCUUAUCAGGGUAGUCGACAGCGAUCUCAGCGGCGAGUUCAACACCCGUCGGCCCUCCUCCGACAAUAAGGACGGAACCGGAGUUUUGGAUCUUCACAUUAUCUGUAACAAAGUGAAAUGUUACAAGGAGAAGGACGCGAAUUGCCGCGAACUUCAAGCAAUGCUUCAUAUUUGUGUCCAAUUUCACAGAUCAUCCAUGUCGGAUCGUUGGCGCUAACCAUUAAUCCCAAAAACUCGAGCUGUUAGAAAUACGCAACCAAUUCAUUUAAAGCGUACAGAUACAGCGCCCACGGGUCUCAAUUGUGACUUGGCCCACCUGACCUCACGCCACUUCGAACAUGACUCGGCCAACCCAGCCUCACGCCAUUUCGAACGUGACUCGGCCCAAAUCAGCCUCCCGCCACAGGGCAGGAUGCUGGCCCAUUUAAGCCAACAAUCCAGUGAAUGCAUAUGAACUACACAUCAGUACUAAAGUGAGUUGCCGCGAAAACAAAUGUCGACAAAUACUUGCCUUCUUGGAAUUGUUCUAGCCUGUCUCUCCGACGUCGAGGAGUCGAGACUGUAUGUCCUGUGGCUAUGACGAGGUAUUCGUACGCCACUUCACGCCCCUCGGCUGUCAUAACCGCUGCUUCGCUGACAUCGACCGCAGACGACGUAAUAACUUUGCCAUUGACUAAGUAAUCGCUGUGGUUGAUCAACGAUUUCUCCGCAACCGAUGGCUCGACCUUCGAUCUCAGGUUUGUCCACGGAAUCUCAAAGUACUCCUUCCUGGGAGGAUUUGAAGAACACAAAGAAAUCAAAUUAAUGACUGUUCAGAGCAUUACAGAUUUGCUUAAAAAGUAGAUCCUACUCGAUUUAAAUCGAAAAGAUCGUCUUAAUUUCAAUCUUGAAAGAAUGAAAGAUUAGGUUAUAAGUAAAAAAUAACUUUUUUUUUUUUCCACUUUAUUGUUUGCAAGCUAACGAACAAUGACAAUAAGAGAGAAGUUCAUCUGCUAGAGCGUCUAAUCGCAUUGAAUUUAAGCUUUAAGAAACAAAAAAGGUAAAAAAAUUAUUCCUUUCGACAACAUAAUAAUCUUAAUAGUAUCAUCGAAAUAGGUAUCGAAGAUUUAAAAUUUUAAUUGUACUACCAUAUCAUAUAGUAAUUUUUAACUUUGCGACAUAAUAUUCGUAAUCGAAAGGGAUAUUCUGAGAAUGAACAAGACAAGUCGUAAAAUAAUACAACAAAUAUUCAAGGUUAGGUUAUAAAAUCAAAAGUCGCAAAAUACGGAUAGCAUAAUCAAACUUUCAAAUUUCGAAUAUCAAUUCCAAUUUAUCAAUGCGAUACUUACAAAAAAAUUCUACAAUAGUUUACAACCAUGCAUGCACGGCCAAAUUUAAUUGUCUCUAAUAGCUUUAGUUUUCGGAGAAUAUGUUUUCAUAUUUUAUAUCCGACACUACUAAUUAAUAUCCGUGCUUAAUUCUUUUUGAUAUGUCUAUGACAGGAACUUCAAAUUUUUUUAAUAUUUUUUAUAUAUUUUAAUAUUUUUUAUUCAACGCAUAAGAUCAAGAACUUCAUAAAUUGUUGUAAGAUUUAUAUAUAAGCAUAGCAUUAUUCAUCAUGAAUGCCAAAUAAUCAAGCGCGGAAAAUUAAAGUGGGGAGAGGGAGAAAUGUUGGCGAUUUUAUAUACUGAUCAAUCAAGACGACGUCGGUAUGAAACUGGAUCGAUUUGGCGAGGAGGGCACCGGCAAUGCCGCCGCCGACCACCACCACCCUCCGCCAACUCCCGCUCGCCCCACCUCCUCCUCCUCCUCCUCCUCCUCCUCCUCUGCCUCCUCCGCUAUUCAUUAAUACGCGAUUACUGAAAAAAAAUCCGAAAUCAACACUGCAUUAAUAUAUCAAAUCUGAAAAUGACACGAUUUGACGCAACUGCUAUAAAAUUUACUUUUUGAAUAUUUUAACACGAACAGUAUCCACCGAUCUGAAUUGUGAACCCUAGCGCGCGCUCUCUCUCUCUCUUUCUCUCUCUAGAGAAAAGGGGGAGGAGGGAGAAGCGAGCUAGGGUUUGUUCUCCUCUCUCUCUCUCUCUCUCUCUCUCCUCGACCUCUUAUUGGAGCUCCAUUUCCGAGCAUCGAAACCGUACGCGCGGGGCUCCGAAACAAACGCCGCUCCAUUUGUGGGGCUUAUUAUUGGAGCUUCUAGAAGCUGCUUCAACGACAACCGGACACGAGGCAGUUUCCUAUUGGCCGCAUAAAUCUUUUUCAAAAAAAUCCUAACCGAAGAAGCUUACCAAUCACAGAAAGCCACGUAGGGACUGUUGGACCCCACCGGAUUUUCUGGCGCCAAAACGAAACAACGGCUUCGGCGUUGUAACAAACCAAAGUUUAAAACAGUUUCGGUGGUUAAAAAACUCGUCAUUAAAAAUAAUGAUAUAUACAUAUAAUAUAUAUAUAAUAUAUAUAUAUAUAUAUAUAUAUAUAUAUAUAUAUAUAUAUACAUGCCCUCCCUUCUACUCUUCAACUACUAGGGCUGUUGGGUUGGAUGUAGUUGCAGAAACAGCUGUAGUUGGAAAUGUACAUGCAGUUGCAAAUGCUGCAGUGUAAAUAACACUAGUAGGUUUGGUUUUACGCAGUUGCAACGCUGCAGUUACAUUUCUUCUGUUUGGUAAUAUAAAGACUGAUGUUGUAUUUGUGAAUUUUAUCACCUUUCAGAUAGAGUGGUAGACAUUCACCUUCACUAAACAUAAAAUAUUGUAUAGUUUUCUAAUCAUGUUAAAUUUAUCUAUUUAUAAAUAAAUAAGUAAUAUAUAUAAUAUUCUUCAACUUAUUAAUCGACACAUUUAAAAUUUUUAAUUUAUUUAAUUUUAAUAUGUAAAUCAAACUUUAAAAAUUUAAACGAUUCUCUCAUUUUUUUUUUAUCAAAUUUAAUAAUUAUAAUUAAUUAAAACUUAUUAAAUUAACAUACACAAUCACAUUCUAUAAAAUUUUUUAAAAAAAACUAUAUUUAUAUUUUAAAUAAAAUAAAUUUAAAAAAUUUAAUUUUUUGCACAAAGCUUGUAUUGUCUAAAAAAUUUUAUUAGUAUGAGUUUAUUUACAAGUAUUUUUAUUUACCUAUAUACAUAUAUUAUUUAUUUAUUUAGCUAUUUAUUUAUUUAUUUAUUAUUGUUAAUUUGUGGGUGAUCCUAUCCCUCACCAACUGCUGCAGUUGAAACUACGGCCAAUUUGGAUGUAGUUCCAACUGCAACAUUUGGACCUUUUUGUGUAGUUGGAACUGCAGCAGUUGAACUCAAAUACACUAAACCAAACAAAGGAAUUAAGGCUGCAUGCAUUUGCAACUGCACUGCAGUUGCAAAUGCGUGGUUGUACAUAUUUGCAACUGCAUUGCAACUACAAAUAUAUGCAAUUUCAAUUUUUGUGUUUGGUUUAAUGCAGUUGAGUCCAACUGCUGCACUUGCAACUGCACAAAAAGGUCCAAAUGCUGUAGUUGAAACUAUAUCCAAAUUGACUGCAGUUCCAACUGCAGCAGUUGGUCAGAAAUAGGAUCACCCACAAAUUAACAAUAAUAAAUAAGUAAAUAAUUAUAUAUAUAUAUAAUAUAAAUUUUUAUUAUUUGAUUUUUAGCCCAACCUAAAUAUAAAGCCCAACUCAAUUAUAAAAUGGUUCAUUUAUAAGUAAAAUUUCAACCAUUAGAUCAAAGUAUAACGGGUAAGAUCUUAUAAAUUUAUUUCAUAUAUAUAUUCUUUCUAAUUCUUUUAAAUUCUUAUUCAUAAGCCAGCUCGUAUUCGGCUUGUGGGCUCGUUAACAAACGAGCCAAACACGAGCCGAAUUUUUCGACUGGAUACUUUAACAUGCUAGCUCGUGUUCGACUCGUUCGUGCGGAACACGAGCAUGAAACGAGCACGAGCCGACCCCAGCUCGCUCGUGUUCGGUUCGUUAACACCCCUACCCGAGUGAGGGUCGAUAUAACAGACUAAGCCAGGGUCGGUGAAUGACAGGCUAAGUCAGAGUCGGAACUACAAAGGUUAGCGAGACGAAUAUCACAUCGUCUGGUGAUCUUGGGUUGUGUGUGUUUAGGGCGAACAAAGACGUCAGGGCGUAAACGAGGGAAGUCUAUGACAUCCAACUAGUCUCAUAUAGGAUGGAAAUAGGGUUGUCAUUGGUAUAAGUGGACUCCACCCUAUCUUCCGAACAAAAGGAAAGGUCUUCUUCUGUGAAUCCCUCUUGUUCCUCAGCUUAAGCAUUUUGGGCCAAUGGUUUUGACCCAAUGAGUUAUUAUUGCUAGCGGGUCGGGUCGUUACACAUCGGUAGUAAACCAAAGCCAAACAAACCUAACCUAUUUGAUAUUUUGGCUUUAGUAAAUAGUUCAGUUCUUUCAGUUCAAACAAUAAAGGUUCUUCCACUUUACAAUUUUAACUUCAGUUUCGAAACCAAAAAUUGAAUAAACCAAUUGAAUAUAUAUCACAUUUUGUACAUUUUGAAUCUUGCAGGAUCUGAAUAUGUUGAAGGGACAUUCUAUAUAUCUAAAGAAUUGAUUUAAAGAAUCAAGAUCUGAAUGGUUCCAACGCUAGCAAAAAGGUUAUGAGAUAAAAAAUCCAUAAUUAAUAUUUACAUAAAUUUAACCCAAAAACCUUAUGGGUAUAGGUCCAAACCUCCUAAACUAAACCAAUAAUUUUCCAUUCAAUUAUGUGGAGCAUUAAAGUUCAGAUAUUUUGAUUCUGUUAAAUCUCUUCUGAAACCAACUACAGAAACCAACUACACCAAUCAAAUGCAUAUCCAUACUAAUAGGUUUACGUGAUUGUACAAAUACUAGAUUGUGGACUGAAGAUUUCAGAUAUCCAUAUUUGGUUCUAUUAGGGGAUAUAAUAUGGAAGAGAUUAAGGAUUUCAUGACGAGUCUUACAUUCCUUGGGAGUUUGGAAACUAUUGGUCAUCUCAACCAAAUGCCCAACACAUAUCUCCCCUGAAUGAUCUCAAAACAGAUCAAAAAUGUCGUUAAGAAAUGUACAACUUUAGAUCAGAGUUAGUUAAUUCACGAAUUAUUCGCGAAAGAAUGAACAAAUGAAUUAUUCACCUUGUCCCCGUAUAUUUCCCAAAUAUUGUGAAAAAUAUAAGCUUUUUGGAGGCUAACAAAUAGAACCCGUCAUAUUCAGGACCAAAUAAUAAUUCAUGGUUUAAUUCGUAGGCAUGUGACAGGUGGCCAAUAGCUCUUGGUGCAAUUUCAAUUUUGAAAUUUCAAAUCCUGUAAAUUUGGCAUUCUCAUGAUACUAUAGGGUCAUCAUAGUGCAGAUAUUAUUCUAUAGGGUCAUCAUGGUGCAGAUAUUAUUCAGACCCUUCAUCAAGAUGAAUACCACAUCUAAAAUGCAAUUAGGUAUUUUUGUAAACAGACAUGAUUAGGUUUCUAUUAGUUUUGAACUAAUUCAUUUGGCAGCAAUAUUUGAUAAAUUAAAAACCUGCGAAAAAAGAACAAAUGAAAUAAUAGCUAAAAAUUAUGAAAUUUUGGUAAGACAUCAGUUUUCAUCCACAGAAGCUAGUUUUAAAGUUUCGUGUUAAUCUGACUCUCGAGCAGUUAAAACGGAAUCCUACAACAAUCCAUCGAAAUUUCUUCUCAAUAGGCCAGUGACUAAUAUCUCUGAUUAUUUCUAAUUAAGUCUGCCUAUCAUUUAAGCCUAACUGAUGCAAACCGAGAGGUUGUAAAAUCUGAAUUUUCAACUUUGCUUUCGUUUAUAAGUAUUCUUGAAAUAAACUAGGUUCAAUUUAUCAAUUCUAGCGAACUUUACUAAAACUAAAGGAAGCAAGAAAAACAAAUUUCAACAAGACGGAAAAUUAAAAUCGAAUUCAAGAAAUACUACAAUAGUGAUAAACCUUCAAUAUAUGAGAUGAUAACAACCAACUAAAAAUACAUAUAAUAGUUCCAAAAAGGUAAAUUCAGUUUUAUUGAACUUAAAACUCUUAGAUCUGAUUGUUUUGGCAAAUAUGUUUGGUAAUGGUAGAAGGCUAGAUUAAAAGGGAUAAUGGGUUAUCAAGAGACGAGAGAGAAGAUAAGAUACAAGAAGUGCACCGAUCACACGAUUGCAGAGGAUCCACGAUCGACGAGGGCAGUACAUCAUGGGUAGAACUUCAGCAACAACGAAGGAGAAGUGGAGGUUGGGACCCUAAAGAAGAAAGGGGUAUAAGUAGAAGCCGAUCUUGCCACGAAGAAGAAGCGACAACGAUCAAGUUGAGGAAGAAGACGAUCUCGGCACGAGAAAAAAGCAUCGAUGAUCACACCGGAAAGAAGAACAUGGCAAGGAUUAAAGAACAAGAGUAGAAAUUUCUAUUCAUCAAAUCUGCCUCUCAAAGUAUCAAGAACCAAGUAAUUAUUGUGUUAAGAGCAUAUUUUGUAAUAAAUUAUUGUCCAUUCGUCUUCCACACAACAUGGUCACCCAAAGAUCACACAUAGAAGACGAAGAGAUUUUGGGAAGCCGAAAGGUCUUUUUUGGGUUUGUUUCUAUGUUUAUUGAAAAAAGAGUUUGGGUUAGCCGAAUCAACUAAAACUAAAUGAUUUAAGCCCGAAUUCAACACGAACUUACAAAAUAAGAGAAAACUGCAUUCAAAAAUUUAAAAAAAUUUAUUUGCUGCAUUAGUUCUUCCUGGGUUGGAGAAAUCUCGACCCCAUCGAGAUGGCAUCCUGAUAGCUCUAGCAUAAGUCCUCUCGAAGUCAACACAACUCCACCUCAGAAAACCAACUGUUAUCGGACAAUGUCAUUCACACCAACAUACCAAGUAUCGGCGAUGGGUACCACGACGCGUCGUAGACUCACGUACAUUCAGAAUAUCCUCCGCCUAAUCUGAUAACGCUUCAAUGUCGAUGCAAAAAGCCAAGCCCUUAAUAUCGAUAGUAGAGGGGGCCUCUCCAUGGUACUCGUACAACUCGCUAACAUGAAGAUCGGGGAUGCUAGCACGUUCGGGUGCAAAUCAACUAGAUAUGCAUUUGACCCCAACUUCUUCAUAAUUUUGAAUGGCCCGUACUUUUUCCUGCUCAACUUGCUAUACACUCCAACUAAGAAACUUUCUUUUCUAAAAUAGAUUAAGAUAUAUCCCCUUCAUUAAAAGUCAUACAUCGACGAUGUUUACUCGCUUACUCCUUGAUGGGGAACCGGGUCCUUUUCGGACUUAUAUUCAUCGUCAGAACCUAAUUCAGAAUAUUUGGUUGGACGAUAGAUUGAUACUAGAAGCCUGACUUGAAUCUGGGUCUGAUUCAUGUUCGAUGGAUUUUGAAGUUUUAUUAGAUAAGGAUAUUUAUUUGAAAGUUUUAGUUUAUUAUUUAGAUUAGAAUCCUAUUCCUUUUUAGAACUGUGUUUUGAAUUCUCCUAUGAGAAUUUGUUUAAUUUCCUUUUUAGGACUUCUAGUCAUAUUUUUAGUCGUUUUAACCUAUUCUAUAAAUAAGGGUCAAGACCCUAUUGUAAGGCAUGCUUUUUGUUAAUGAGAAUGGAGUUGNAAAAUUUUAAAUGUGUUGAUUGAUAAGUUGAAAAAUUAUUGAAAAAUAUAAAAAUAUUAUAUAUAUCCACUUAUUUAUUUAUAGAUAGUAAAUUUAACUGAUUAAUAAAAUUAUAUAAUUAUUUUAUGUAUAGUGAAGGUAAUCUCACCUCUCUAUCUAAAGAGGUAAUAAGAUUCACAAAGACAACUAUCAGGUUCAAAUUACCAAAUAUAAGAAAUGCAACUGCAACAGUUACAUCUACAGAAAACCAAAUAAAUUAUAUGUAAUUACAACUGCUGCAUUUUCAACUGUAUGCAUUUUUAACUACACUGCAUUUACAACUAAUUAGAUAGAGCAAAUGCGUCAAACUAUGAGAAACUUGACACUUUGGUUUCCAAACUCUAAUUUAUUAUGAUUUCUGACUCGAACUUGCUGAAUUAUUAUAAUUAAGUCACAUAAUCUAAUUUAAUUGACUAAAUAUUAAUAUAUCGCUAAUGUGAAAAUGAUCUACCAUUAAUGCGAUUGAUGACUAAUAUUGAUUAAGAAAUCACAUUACUUUUACAUCAGUGACACAUUAAUAUUUAGUGAAGAUCACUUGAUCACAAUAAUUUACAAAAUUCAAGCCAAAAAUGGCAACAAAUAAAAAGCUUAAAGUGUCACAAGCCUUAUAGUUUUGUGUCGCAGAUGAGGCCUCUUUCACUAGAGUCCCUUUUGAAAUGGUCCACUCAGUUUUAUUAUUAUAUAUAAUUUAGCACUCUAUUAACUUUUAACUUUUUCUAGUUAAAUGAUUCUAAUCAAUUAAAUUUAAUAUUUUACUAAAUAUAAUAAUAACUUCAUCAAAUUGACUAUAUCAAAUAAUCACUUAGCAAAUAAAACUAAAUGAUUAAUGUUUAAUAAUCAGUAAAGUCAUUAAAUUAACAACAUAUUCAACCUAAAUCCAGAAAGAAUACUUAAAUAAAAAAAUAAUUAGAAGUCGAGGGUGUCAUCAGAAAAAGUACAAGCCCCUAUUUCAAAAUGUAAAAUAGUUGACGUUUCUCCUUACAUUUUUACCAAUAAAAUGUGCACGGCUUUUCAUGCUAAUGGGCUAGCCCAUCUAUGUAGUUUAGUGGGCUGGGUCAUUGUAUUUCUAGUUUGAAAUAUCACUUAAAUUUACGUAGUUCAGGUUGCGAAUUGGUUGGUUUUGGGUUUCUGGAUUUUACAUAGCAGGUUUCAGUUCAUCACAUUAAACUUUACAAGUUGCUUGAGUUCAGGUUAGGUCGCGUUUCGAUUCAUCGACUAUUGAUCUAGCCCAAAUUUGAUCAGGUUAGAUUACUCAGACUGGAUAAGUUUCUUCCUUCUCUGAUAGGGAUGUAAAGCAGACCAGACGACGCACGUACUAUUGAGCGAGCCCAAAUCUUAUCAGAUCAGAUUGCGAACGUGAGAAGUCGUCGUUGUGGACGCAGCACUCCCUUUGGGCAUUGACAAAGUUGUGGUCAUUGUAGGUGGUUUCUCACCUGGGGAGAUGUCGCCCGGAUCGCUGUACCAGAGGUUUCAAAUUUGAAGCAGGAUGUCGCCCGGAUGGCUGUACCAGAGGUUUCAAAUUUGAAGCAUAAUUACUUUAUAUUUUCAACUAAUUUUAUUUUUUUUAAAAAAAUGAACAAAACAGAUUUCAUCUUUCUCUUAUAUCUUACAUAUUGGACUAUCUAGAGUCUAACAGCUACCUCUUACAUGAGGUUCAUCAGUGACGAAACUAAUCCAUGAUGGGGUUAUAGAAGAUGUGGUCCCAUAUGCAACAACAAACGUCACUGCUUCAAGUUAAACAAAAAUAACACAAUUAUUUUUGUACUAUCAAAUUGUUAAAAGUUACCGAUAACUAUGCUUUACCACAACCAACCAACCAAGUGCAUGUUAAUUUGGACAAUCUGAGUUUGGGAAUAAUUUUAGGUCCUUUGUUGCAAGAAGCAUCAGUAUUAAUCUCUAGGUUCGUGCAUAAAAUGCCUGGAUCUUAGUAUAGCUUAGCAUAACUGCAAAACUAAUAAGAGUACCAAAGUAUAGUUAGGUAGGUACCUGCGAAGCCACCAAGAGGUUAGGAUUUCAAAUCCGGCCAAGUUCUUAAUCUCUGAUGAGUGAUGCCUCCACCUUUGGGUUUUAGUGUAGCAGGUUUUCCGCGAUGUACUUAGUUCGACCCGUUUAAAAGCGACCUAGUUUGUAAAGCAGUUCGGUUCAAUUCCUUGAAUUCGAUAAGCUGAAAAUCUGUUUUGAACCGUUCGAACUGGCAGUUCAACCAGCAAACUAGAUAACUGGUUUGGUUUUAAACGAAUUGGCUGAAUUUUUUUUUUUUUUUCUUCGGUAGUUUUAUUUAUCGUUAAUUUUUGCAGAUUGUAUGUUCUAUUAUGAAAAAUAAAAUUUAAAAAUUUAUAUCUACUCAAAUUGGUUCAAUAAUAAUAAUAAUAAUGAUAUAAUAUAUAUUUUUAUAAUAUAUUUUUUAAAAAAUAAUUAAAUAUUUAUGACGUCAUGUUGAUGUCACUGGUCCAUCCUUGGGCAUGUUUUUUUUCACCGAAACUCAACUUUGGGUUGAAGUGAAGUGCGGUAAAAACUACUUCUUCUCCGCUGUUUGUUUCGUAGUUAUGGAAGUGAAGUUUCAUUAUUUAAGCUUUUUGUUUGAUAGAAAAUGUAUGAUAUAAAACUAUAAUUUAUGUAUAAAUAAUAAAUAAUUUAAUAAAUAAAAAUAAUAUAAUUAUAUUUCUAUAUAAUUAAAAUUUAAUUUAAAACAACUAUAUUAUUUUUUUUAUACAUAAAUUAUAGUAAUACAAUAAUAAAAUUAUAAAGUAAAAAGAUAUUAAUACUUAAUUAAUUAAUUUUAUCAUAUUUUAAUUGUACAAAUUAAAUAAAGAAAAUAUUAAAAUUUAACUAAUCAAUUUUUAUCAUAUUUUAAAUAUAUCAACUGAAUAAAAAAAUAAUUAGUAUCAUAGUUAACUAUAUUUAAAUAUAACUAUCUGUACCUAGUAUAUUAUAUUAUUUUAUUUUAUUUUUAAUCUUUUUUCACCGUAAAUGACUUUUGCCCACGAUGGGCCGAAGUCAUUUACACCGUUUCAGAUUAACUCGAAUUUCGAUCAUAACUUAUUUACGACGAACCAAACAACGAAAGUAAACGAUUACGGCAAAAACCGCUUCCCUCUCUCCACUUGCACCCCAUGUCCGCCCAAACAAAUGUGUCCUAACAAUUCCGGAUAGUUGUUUGACCUAAUUUUUAAAACAUGAAUGUUUGAUAAGGCUAUUUUUAAAGGUACAGAGCACACAGGCUAUUUUUAAAGGUAGAGAGAGAGAGAGAGAGAGAGAGAGAGAGAGAGAGAGAGAGACACCAGAAUUUAGAAGAAGAAAUAAGCAGUUGACCUAACAAUUUGCAAAGAACCCUAUGCUGUGUGACCACAUAAGAGUGGUUGUGCCAUUGCUCUCCACUUUAUCAGUUUGGUAAGAAAGAGCUUUGAAAAAGAAAGGAUAUAAUAUAAAAUCUAUGCAACAAUGAUAAGCAUGAUGUAAGAGCAAAGCAUUUUGUCAUUUUUAAUAAACCAAACAAAGGACAAACUUUUUGAAAUGAAUUUUACUUAGAAAAUCAAACCAUUAUUAGAACAACCUCUUUUUUUCCCCUUUAUGUUCAUCACAUCAUUUGCUGGGUCCUUCAUGUCCAUCCCUUUGAUUCAUUUUUAAGAGUACAUUUCAAAAAAAGAUACAAUUAAGUCUCAUAUUGUUUUUCAUCCCAUGGCCCAUAUUGUGUCUUGUCUUAUUAUUAUUAUUUUUAGGCAAUAUUAUAGAAAACAUUUUUUAUAAAUAUUGUUGUUUCACUUUCUCUCCUUAAUUUUUAAAAACCUACAGUUUAGUCCCUCAAUAUUUUUAGUUGUUGCAUUUAGUCUCCUCCCCUCCUCUGUCGGGGGUCCAUCACUAUUCCGUCCAUUUCUUAUAAUUUAUACUGAAAACGCCCUUCAAAUGACAGAAAUAUAUUAAAAAAAUAUUUUUUUUUAUAGAAAAAUAAGAAUAAUUUGAUCAUUUUCUCCUCUCCAUUAACGUCUUACCUUCUUAAAAAUAUUUCUAAAAUUUUUAAAGGGCAAAAUAUAGUUUUUUGAAAGUCAAUGAGGAAAAAUAACAAAAAGAGUAUUUAUAGAAGGGUUUUUUUGUAAUUUAGUUAUUUUUAAUACUACAAAUUUAAAGAGUUUUUAAACUCUACAAUGGAAGUGUAAAUUAUAUAACCCUCUUUUCAGUGCAUUAGUAGCAUUUCCUAUUUUUUAAGAAACUAGUACACUCCGGAAGGGGGUGUGAUUUACACCCCCUACAUCUAAGGGCCUAUAUUAGGUUUUUGUCUUGUCAAUUUUUUUUUUAUAUUUUUUAAAUACCAUAAAGCACACAACAUUUUGUUUCUCAAAUUUUAAUUUGUUAUAAUAAUGAUUUCGAAUUUUUUGUAUUAUUAUAGUUAAGUUUCGCAACUUAGUUUAAUUUACUAAAUAUUAAUAUAUUACUAAUAUAAAAAUGGUGCAGAGGUAUUGUAAUUAAUGAUGCAAUAUUGAUUAAGAUAUUAUAUGAUUUGCACAUUAGUAAUACUUUAAUAUUUAGUUAACUAAAUUAGGUUAUGAUAUUUGAUUACAAUAAUUUAUAAAAUUCUGACAAAAAAUUGUAAUAUAUUAAAGUGUUAGCGCCAAAGUAUCACAUCUCAUCGAUCGAGGACAAAAAGUGUAACUUAGCCCUUUUUCAGUGGGGAGGGGUCAAAUGAAUUAGGGCCAACUUGGUUCGGGGUAUAGGCGGCAAUAACGAAAGUUAUUCCUGCUUUUCAGCCAAAUGGAAUUAUUUUUUACUGGAAUAUUUUAUCUCGGUCAAAUCUUGCUAUUCCUGACUAUUCCUGGCUACCCCUGAAUAGCUUUGAAUUUGCUAUCCCACCAUUUUGAUCAAAUAGUGUUAUUCUAAUGUUUAAUUUCAAACUUUAUUAAAAUUAUAAAUUAAAUUAAAACUAAAAUAUAUAAAUAUAAUAUGUUAUAUAUUAUAAUAUAUUAUUUUUUUAUAAAAUUAUUAAGUACAAUAUUAAUAUAUAUUAUUUAUAUUUAAAUAUUAUAAUAAAUUAUUUUUAUUAAAUUUAAGUUUAAGUAGAAUUUUUGAAAAAAUAAUAUAUUAUAAUAUAUAACAUANCAAAAUAAAAGUUUAUAAUUUUAAAUUCAAAAUUUUAAAUUUUAAAUUUAAAUUUUUAUAUUUUAAAUUUUUGAAAUUUAAAAUUUGAUAUUUUAUAUUUUUUAAAUUUAAAUUUGAUCUUAAAUUUAAAGUUUGAAAUUUAAAUUUUAAAAUUUUGAAUUUAAAAAUAUAAAUAUAAAAUUUUAAAUUUUAAAUUCAAAUAUAAUGAGAAGCGUAAUAUUAUUAUUUUUUAUUUAUAACUACACUCUAUCCUUCUUAUUCUAUCUUAUCUAUUUGAACGUUAUUUUUCUUAUUUUCAGAAACAAUCCAAUUUUCAUCCAAAUACAAAAUUAGUCUAGUUCUUACUUAUACAUGAAUUUAUAUCUAUUCCGGAAAUAGGCAGUUCUUAUUUAUAUCCAAACCAAAUAAUAUCUUAGAGUAAGCCUGAACCCAAUUCCUCUAUAUAUGCAAGGUCCAACCCUAAAGGCAAAAGUUGGGAAAAUGAAUUGUUUAGUAGAACUUAUUCUAUAGUAUAAAUAAGAAUAUGAGAUGCCCAGAUAACACUGCGUAUAAAUAUAUAAAAUAAGAUUGAAUACUAUUUAAUAACUUUUGUCCCUAUUCUAUUAAUUUUUGUAGGCUAAAUUACAGAAAACCCCUCUGUAAUAAUCCGUCUUUUCACUUUCUCCUCCUGACAUUUAAAAACCUACACUUUGCCCCCUUGUAAAAUGAAAAAUAUUGACAGGAUUGUUACGGUGUGUAAAAUGACCAUUUUGCCCCUCGCCAUUUUCGUUUUCUUUCUCAUCUUUCUCAGCCGCCCCUUCGAUCGGCCGCGAUUCCCACCUCAAUCAGUCGCGAUUUCUCUCCAUUUCCUUCUCCACCUGCUCCCCUUCUCCUCCUGCACCCUCGCCGCCCCCUCGAUUUCGACGAUAGUAUGGAGGAAAUCGAGGUGGGUGUUUGUGACACCCCAAUAGUCCCACAUCGGAUGGGAAUGGGGUUGUCAUUGGGUUUAUAAGAGACUUAGAUACUAGUAAUAAUAACUGGGCUUAAGCAUUUUGGGUGGUGGCUAGACCCAAGAGGUUAAGAGAGUUAAGCGUGCUAGGACGGGAGUAGUCCUAGGAUGGGUGACCCCCUGGAAAGUCGGGGUGUCACAGUUGGUAUCAGAGCCAAUUACCAGCCGGAAGUGUGAGAUGAGUCUCGGCUGAGCCAGGGUCUGGAUGAUGGGCUAGCGAGACAAGUCUCACAUCGCCUGGUACUUGUGAGUCUGAGCCUGACGAGGAUGUCAGGGCUUAAAGGAGGGGAGAUUGUGAGACCCCAGAUAGUCAUAUAUAUGAGAUAUAAUAUGGCUAAACUCUUAACCCGGCUUAAGCAUUUUGGGUGCUUUAAUCUGUCACGUCCCGGGGUCCCUUUUAGUUUAAAAGGUAGGCGGAAAAGCGUCUGAAAAUUUUUUUUUUGAAAAUCUGACCCCAGAGUGUGCCAGAUCCGCCACAAAUACAGAGUUCCACUGUUCACACGGACAGAGUCUCCCCUGUAUUUGCACGGCGUCGCACAAGUACAACAGAGUAUAAGUACACACACAACCACAACCAGAUGAACAACAAGAUAGAUAACAUUCAUCCAUUCCAUUCACACACACAGAUAUGAGACUUGAAUAAGAGUAACAUUCCACAUCUAUCAGUUAAAAUGUUUCCUACCUGGAAACUGAUAUGAGACUUGAAUAAGAGUAACAUUCCACAUCUAUCACUUUAAUCUGUCUAGUUUCCCGUGACUAGUGAGUACCCCUCGCCCUCUACGGCUUGCGGUACCCACUGGGAGGGGAGACAUGUUUACAUGUUCGCACCCCCCGCCCCCUUUACAGGUGACGUAGCAGGUCCGAGUGGGGCAGCUGGUGGGGAGCGUAUCUAGCUUGCGAUAGAGCUCCUUCCCGAGUCGGUUAUUCCUUUUACCCUUCAUGCUUAAAUAAAUACUUAGACAUAUUAUGGUUCAGUUCUAUUUUAUUAUCUGACUAUCUGGGUUUUCAAUUGGUUUCGAAAUGUACUAAAGGAUUUGAGUUUUCUUGAAUAAAACAGUUUUCUACCCCUCGUGGUAGCUGGUUUUGAAAAAGAAUGGUUCCCGUGUGGGAAUCAGUUUUCAAAUUGAUUUUUCUGUGGUUUUAUGGAUUUAGUAUUUCAAAAUCAGUUUCCAGGUAGGAAACAUUUUAACUGAUAGAUGUGGAAUGUUACUCUUAUUCAAGUCUCAUAUCUGUGUGUGUGAAUGGAAUGGAUGAAUGUUAUCUAUCUUGUUGUUCAUCUGGUUGUGGUUGUGUGUGUACUUAUACUCUGUUGUACUUGUGCGACGCCGUGCAAAUACAGGGGAGACUCUGUCCGUGUGAACAGUGGAACUCCUGUAUUUGUGGCGGAUCUGGCACACUCUGGGGUCAGAUUUUCAAAAAAAAAAAUUUUAGACGCUUUUCCGCCUACCUUUUAAACUAAAAGGGACCCCGGGACGUGACAGAUUAAAGUGGUAUCAGAGCCAAGUUACAACUACAACCCCAUUCACAGACUAUUUUUUUUUGAAAUCCAAAAAGGACUGAACCAUUGGUUAGGUUGACCCUAGGAAGACCUACGCUGUAUAGGCACGUGAGUGCGGGGUUUGGGCUCGAGUUCUGGUUGAUAGUAGUCGAGUUGGUUUUUCGAUUGACGGUGUUUCUGUUACAGAUGGCUCGUGGCAGACCUCCUCUUCGUGGACGUGGUGGUGGACGCGCCGCAGAGGGCUCUAUCAAUAGCCCUGGAGAGCAGACCCCGAGAGGCAGAGGCAGGGGCAGGGGCAGAGGGGAGCAGAUCGGCCCAGAUCAGCAGGGCGAUACUCGUACCCAGCAGCUCGAGGCUCAGGUAGCAGCGAUGAGGGGUCAGAUGACAGCCCUCACUGGGGCGGUUCAGCAGCUCCAGCAGCUUUUACAGCAGCACGCUGCAGCUGCUGUUCCCCCGGUACCACCCCCGACGCCGCCGGUUCCUGAGACAGCUGCCCCUCAGGUGGCGCCUGCAUAGGCGGUCCUUCCGACCGUCCCGAGGACGACGACGGCCACCACGACAAUUCCCACUGAGGGUGCUGAUACCCCAGCAGCGGAGGGCGCCCGUAUGCGGGCGAAGCUGAUUGAGUUCAGGAAGUUCGACCCGCCGAGAUACGCGGGGAAGAAGGAAGAGAAUGGAGUUCUCGAGCGCUGGCUCACCGACAUGGAGAAACUACUUGAGGACUUAUUCAUCGAUGAGCAGGACCGCGUCCCCUUGGCCGCCCACUUUCUGGACGGGGACGCAAGCUCUUGGUGGCGUCGACAUCUAUCGCUCAAGCUGGGCAAUGUUUUCCCGCCCUGGGGGGAGUUCCGGAGACUCCUCCACGAGCAAUUCUUUCGGGACAACUCAAAAUUGGAGCUGGAGCGCGAGCUAGAACGUCUUCAGCAGGGGAGCCGUACCGUAGCUGAGUACGAGCGGGACUUCUCUCGCAUUGUGGAGCUGAUUCCCUUCGUCAUCCGAGACGAGCGCCACAAGGCGAGAGUCUUCGCGAGGGGCUUGAGACCCAACAUCAGGAUGCUGCUGGCUUCUCAUGGCACGAUGACAUUUGAUGAGUGCUUGGACCGAGCCCUCGUCAUCCAGAGCGAGUCUACCGAGGUCCGAGCUGCAAAGGAGGCCUCAGAGCGAUCGGGGGACAGGAAGCGUUCCCAUUCUAAGACUGGUGGCGGCUCCUCUUCCAACAGCAACCGGCCACCAAAGCAUCCUCGUACUCAGCAGUCGACGGGGAGCGCGCCUUCGCGUAGUCAGCGACAGGGAGGACGAUCGUGCGUCAUCUGCGGAAGAUCACACAAGGUGACAGAAUGCCCGCAGAGGAGAGACCACUGUUUCCGCUGUGGCCAGCAGGGCCAUCGACAGGCGCAGUGCCCUAUGAGAAAUGGGGCCACGCAGAGCGCCGCUUCCUCCCCAGCAGCAUUCCGACAGGACCGAGGAGCUUCCAGCGCAGCUGCACCGUCUGGGCGUCCCUCUUCUUCACGACAAAAUGAGGGGGCGCGUCAGGCAUCUAGUGGACGGGUCUUCGCCCUGACUCAGCACGAGGGCAACACUGGUGGCGACGUCCUUGCAGGUAUUGUCACCCUCUCCAUCACUCGUGCUAGAGCUAUAUUCGAUACUGGAGCAUCGCACUCAUUCAUUUCGCAUUCAUUUGCAUGUGAGCAUGGUAUUUCCUCGCGUCCACUAGACGUGCCGCUCCGUGUUGACACGCCCGGAGGUGAUCUAUUAGCUGAUCGGUGCAUCCUAUCUUAUCCUGUCGUCUUGGAUAAUCGAGGUUUUCUAGCGAACCUGGUGGUACUUCCGAUGAAGAAGUUCGACGUGGUGCUUGGGAUGGACUGGUUCACCAGGCACCGCGCUACUAUCGACUGCGAGCGGAGGACGGUGACAUUUAUUUGGCCCGGUGAAGAGAAUAUUGUAUCGAGGUGUUAAGCUCUUAUUCGCGCAGUUCGUUAUCUUUCUGCUAGAGCUAGAGGCUUAUAAAUGCCAUGUGUGCCUUUUGGGCGUUCGUUGGAUGUCACCAACGGGCUGCCGCCUUGGGGAGAUUCAGUUUAGGAUUUUCCGAAGUUUUCCAAGACCGAACUUCUGGGAAUCCCCGGACGCAAAUCGAGUUCUUUAUGGUAUUCGUGGCACAGCACGAUUCGAAGGCCCUAUACAUGCUUGACUGAGCUGAAAGAGCUGAAGCUAAUGAGGAUUCUUGGGAAGGAUUUACGACCAGGUUGUGUUCAUGGGUGCCAGGUUUCUUUGUCAAAGAGGAUGGUCGAACGACAUAUUCGACUGCAUGCAGACUAGCGAGAAGCUAACAAAUCACAGUGAGAAGACAAGUAAUCAUGCCCCGAAUUAGACGAUCUCUUUGAUCAGCUUCAGAGUUUCGUCGCGUUAUUUUAACGUCGACCUUCAGUCAGUACAUUCAGACUUAAGAUCGGCAGAAGACGUGCCGGAAGACGUUUCGACUCGUUACGUAUAACGAUUUCACCAGGGAUGAUGCCUUCGGUUACUAAUGCCGGACAGCCUUCCUCAUGGUGAUGAUGCAAUAGUUUUCGGGAGUACUUGGAUCAGUUUGUCGUGUAUUUAUUAGAUGUAUCCUGUUACUGUCGGUAGUGGAUGAGUAGCACGGAGGAUCAAUCUCGGCGAGUAUCAGAUACUUCGAGAGCACAAUUUAUGCUAAGCUCAAUAAGUGGAAUUCUGUCUGCGAGGGUAUGUUUUCUUGGGGAAUAUUGUGAGUCAUUCGGCAUUACUGUGAUCCGAGAAGUACCUUCGGUGUUGAGUGGCUAGGCGAUUCAGUGACAGAUCAGGAGUUUUCUGGUUUUGAGCGGUUAAUAUAUUUAAGCGAUUUGUCGAGGGCUUUUUAAGAUCGCCGCACCGCUACAACUCAGAAAAGCGGAACAUCAGUGGACGCGGCAACAACGGCUUGAUGGCGAAAGGACUCGACUGACCGCGCACGUCUGACUUUACGCAGCGGCGUGAGGACUUUGUGUUCUAUUGCGAUGCCUCAAGGGUCGUUUGCGGGUGCGUGUUUAUGCAGAAGAUUGGGAAGGAUAAUUCUACGCUAUCGUCGCUAAAGCGUAUGAAAGAAUUAUCCAAUGAUUUGGAACUUGCACAGUGGUUUUGCCUUAAGCUGUGGAGAAACUAUUAUUAUGGGGCACAUCCGAGGUGUUCAUAUUAUCAGAGCUGAAGUACUCUUCACUCAGAGGGUUGACUUCAAGCAGAGGCGUUGGCUCGAGCUCUUGAGACUAGCGAAUGUCACCUACAGUAUUAUCGGGAAAGGGAUACGAGUAGGCUGAUGCCUUGAGCCGAAAAGCCUUCGGUGAGAGUUGACCUUCCUUGUCACGAGCGAGGAUCGUUGUGGGAGAAGAGUUUUUCGCCGUUCUUGAGAUCGAGGUUGUUUCACAGAGCUACGCCCAGUUGAUGUCUCUGGUGUAAGCUGCCUGACAGACGAUUACACUGCGAAGAGAGUGACCCGUACUUAAGUAAGUACGGGCGGAGACCUCUGAGCAGUCGGCAGGACAAGAGGAUUCAAACAUCCCCGAUGAUCUUGGUUUCAUAGCAGGAGUGGUUGUGCAUAUAAGAGGAAGAAGAUAUCCUUAUCCGAGCCAAAGACGAUUCAAAAAACAAGGCUGCCAUCUGUCCCCUAACAGUUUCACCAGAGGAACAAAGAUGUACUGCGACCUAAAAAGAAAUUUCUGGUGGCAUGGGAUGAAGCUAAUGUGGCUAAGCACUGCUCGGUGUUUAUUUUCAGGAGUAUAGCGAGCACCAAGCGCGGCAGGGAAGCUUGCAACCAUUACCCGAUCCCGUUUGGAAGUGGGAGCGUCACUAUGGAUUCGUCACUGGAUUGCCUCGAUCACCAGUCGAGGGCAUCGAUGCGAUCUGACUUUAGUGGAUCGACUCGAAAUGGCUAUUCCUACGAUGUCACACGACGUACGUCCGUGAUCGAUGCACAGUUGUAUAUUGAACGAGAUUCCAGGCUUCAUGGGUGCUGUCGAUUGUAUCUUGAUCGGGACACUCGGCUUCGUUUCCCACUUUUGGAGGAGCUCCAGCGGCUAUGGAACGAAAGCUGAACUUCAGUACAGAAUUCAUCCCCAGAAGUGAAGGAUCAGUACGAGUAUCCAGAUUUGAGACUGUUCGCGCUGUGUCUGAUUACGCUGGAUGUUUCGAUAUCUACUACUUGUGGAGUUCGCUAUAUAAAGCUAGCCGGGAGCAUCGGGAUGGCAUCUACGAGGCUUUAUAUGGCCGCGAUGUGAUUCUAUCUGUUGGAUGAGUGGGAACGCGUUUGAUGGGCAGAUAGUGGAGAUGCUGAGGCAAGUUGAUUGCGAGGAGAGCGAGGUCUUCAGUGACGGUCACAGAGAGCUAACGCGGUGAUAACGGCAGGGUGGACUAGAUUUCAGUCGGUGAGCAUAUUCGCUCAGUGUGUCGGCCUUCAGGCGGGAUCAUAGGUGUUGUGUUUGGAACAAGUUUAGUCUCUCGUUUGUGGGUUUGAAGAUCCUUGGAGCGCUUGCUUGGUCAGUGGUACAGUGGAUAUCUCCAAGUCUCGCGUGUGUAAUGCUUUCACGUGUCAAUGCUUCGGAACUCAAUUCCAGAUCGGUCUACCAAUAUCAGAUUCAACGUAUAUUAGUAGGGAGAUCUGAGCUAUGGGAGGUCCGAUGAGAUUCUGGGUGAGGUGAAGCAAUAAGAAGGAAGCAUUCAUUAUGUAAGGUUCAGGUGGCAAUCUAUGAGUCGAGCUUGGGCUAGCGGGACUUGGCUUAUCGGAAGAGUGAUCAUUUGUUUACGGGAUGUUUUAAUUUAGUUUGGACGAAACAUAUUUAUGUAAGGGGGAAUGAACUGAAUACUGAGAUUUUUAUUUAUGAUUAACCUUUUGUUUGAUGAUGUUUUUGUGUAAAUAUAAUUAUAGUAGUGUACUCUGUCAAAUUUCAGGAGAAAUCGAGUAUAAAAACGAGAGAAAGUUACGCGUACCGGAAGUUCGAUUAGUGAAUAGUACUCGGUUUCCGGAAUGAACGGGCGCGGAUAGGUGGACUUUCGGGGACGGAUGCCGAUAUAGCUUACGAUAGUCUGUUUUCACGCAGUGAAUUCCUGGAGCCAAUGGCAUAGAAUUGAAGUCUUGUUAUGCGACGUUGUCGAGAAAAGGAGGUUUAAUGGAAAUUACAAAAUGGUUAUUAUGGGUGGAAUCAUAAGAGAUCGGGUUUUGACGCUGAAUGGAGACCAGAAUUCGGACAAUAGUUAAAUUGCUAGAUUCGAUGCCCAGUUUGCGAACGCCGCUGGCGUAAUCCGGUCGGAAUCCGACGUCGAUUUGGAAUCUGUAAAAGUUGCUAAGAGGCAAGUUGGCAAACGAUUAAUCAAAAAAAGGUCAAUUUUUAUGCGCGAUCUUCGCGAGAUUCGAAUUCGAGAGGACUCUUACGAUUUUCCACAAAAUUCGGCAGGGGUUGGGAUAAAAAGGGUGGUAUGGGACUAGCGAGGGUUUUCUACAAUUAGUUAUAUAUAUAAUUGUCACGGUUUUAGGUUUCGGUAAGGAAACCCUAACCUAUCUUCCAAGCUGCGUCUAACCACCCACUUUCUCACACCGACAUGCAACUAUGUGCAGCUCGAGCCGACGGCAGGCUGCUACUGGCGCUGGCAAAAGUACCCGGCCACCUCUUAGCUCUCCAUAGCUCGACUGCCAUAUUUUUUGUUUGUUGAUGCUGGAGAAAGCAUAAGCCGAGCUCACUCCAUCGACGUCUUUCUUAGGCUCAUCCCGUCGAGGCGACCGUGCCAGCCUCAGCCCGCGAACACCAUGCUCCUGCGGCAGGGGACAGGACCAAGCCGGGCCAACCCGACUGCGGCUGUGCAACCAUCAUCUUCGGCCGCGGCCGUCUCAGUCGCCCCGGGCGACAUCCAGGCAACCCGGCGUGUUCCCUGCGUCCUCAACGACGACCGGCCGCCCUGACCCCCGAGCCCGACUAUGCGCAGCGUCGACCUGAGCCGUCGUACGAUCGCGUGUUGCCGCGCACGUUGGUGCACGCUCCCUUCGACCUCCGGGCCGAACGUCGCCUCCAGACCUCCUACCGGCCGCGCCGCGCGCGGAGAAUCAAACCCGAGAGGAAGUGGAAGGGUCGAUAUCGGCGCGCACCCGGUUGCGCCCGCGCUCGGCAGACCUCAAGAACUCCGGACGAGUGUCCUCCCUCGCCGGACGCACGCUCCCGGCCGCCGGGACAACCCUAGCUUAUCCUCGGGUUGGUAAGGGUUUUUAUGUCAUAGACUGUUUUUUCGAAGGUCGAUCUCUUUUCGGUGAAUCCGAUAGUCCUAGCUUGGAAGUGAGCACGAUUAUACAUCGUGAACUGAUCGUGUCACCUCCAACAGCGGCAAAGAGGCCUGGUUUGUGAGUUGUCUUUACGAUUUGCGCUGUGCGCGCGUUUAUCUGAAUUUAAUCGUCGUGGGCACCGCAGUGGCCGACAGUGCUCCGAAAGGUGAGCACGGCCUCCGACAUGCUGAAACCUGUCAGCGAGUACGGCGGUCGGAUUAAUCGACCUCUGGUUUGCGUGCACGGCCCAUAAAAGCCUAGAAAUCACAUGAAAUGAUGCGAUUUCAUGUAUCGGUAUGGGCUUUUGGGUUUUCUGCUUCGUUGUAGAUAUCGUUGGCAGCAUGUUUGGGCUGAGGAUAACCUCUGGACUGAUCGUCCAAGGCCCCCAAGCCCUUGCGGAAAUCAAAAGUGAUUUCCGGAGCGUUUUUUGGCGAAAUCCGCCGAUAGAACGCGUUUUCGAUUCGGAAUUCUUCCGAUGGUUCUUGGGGAUCAUUUGUUUCGUCGCUGAGCCCUGUUGGCUGGUCACCUGCAUCGUUUCGUGGGUUUAGAAAUGACAGGUGAGCGACGGUGAAGUUCCGGUGCGGUUUUCGGGACUUCCGGCUUAUUCGGUAAUCGGUUUUGGGAAACCGGUCGUGGUUCUGGUUAGCAGGGGUUGUGAGUUAGUAUUACAUGACAAUGGGUUAGAUUUUAACCCAUUGGACCUUUCGUAGGUUCGCUUGCACGUCUUCACAGUCGAGAGACCUUCGUCGGAUACGUACAGGUGGGUACUUCGACCCGUAGUCGGUACAGUGGUGCACGCUCGGUGACGUCUCUUCACCCCUACUGUCUACUUUAUCUUAUAGUUAUAUUGAGCCUUGCACCUGCAUUUAUAUCUACAUUCCUCUACUCAGUUAUUUCCAUGUUGAUAUCAUGCUUAGGAGUAGAGUUGACUUAUCUGUUCACUAUCAGUGAUUUGGUUGGGCGGUUCCCCCUAUUUUGAUACCUAUGACCUAUUCGGUUGAGUUGCUACAGUUCCAUCUUGACUUACGUAGCCGAUUAGUUGCUGAUGGCCUAUACGGUCGGUGUGCCCUGAGGGGCCUGGAUUGUCGGCUAGUUGCCGAUGGAUGAUCUUUGAGCAUACUACAUUGAUCGCCACUACAGGUACGCAUUUCACGAACACCAGCGGUCUGAUCCACCGCAAGAGGGUGUUCUUUUCCGGAAAAGUUGUUGGAUUGCCAACCCGUGAGCCCAGAGGCUUCAUUGCGAGGGUAUAUGCUUCUGACCCAGGGGCUUCAUUGCGAGGGUCAGGUACAGGUUGCAGCAGCGUGGCAUGAGCCUGAGGUCUCGGACCAAUGGCAGCGAGAUUGGGUACUUUUUGAGCUUUUCGUCAGUGUGACGAUGCAUACAGUAGCUGUAGUGUUUAUUCCAGUAACCCUUAUCUGUUUAAUUGUAGCUCACUGUUUUACUUACCUGCAUCUAUACUUGUCAGUCUCCUUACUUAUCAGCAUAUUCACUUAUCACACUUAUAUCUAUCUAGUUUCCCCGUGACUAGUGAGUACCCUCGCCUCUACGGCUUGCGGGUACCUCAUUGGGAGGGAGACAUGUUUACAUGUUCUCACCCCCGCCCCUUUACACGUGACGUACAGUCCGAGUGGGACAGCUGGUGGGAGCGUAUCUAGCUUGCGAUAGAGCUCCUUCCCGAGUCGGUUAUUCCUUUUACCCUUCAUGCUUAGAUAAAUACUUAGACAUAUUAUGGUUCAGUUCUAUUUUAUUAUCUGACUAUCUGUGGUUUUCAAUUGGUUUCGAAUGUACUAAAGGAUGCGUUGGCGCUAACUAUUAAUCCAAAAGCUCGAGCUGUUAGAAAUACCAAACCAACUUCACUUAAAGCGUACAGAAACAGCGCCUACGGGUUCGAUUGUGACUCGCCACCUGGCCUCACGCCACUUCGAACAUGACUUGGCCCAACCCAGCCUCACGCCAUUUCGAUCAUCGACUCGGCCCACAUGCUCCCAGCCACAGGCAGGAUGCUGGCCAUUUAAGCCAACAAUCCCCCUCCAGCACCUGCACAUAUUUGCAGCAUGCAGAAUCGAGACCUCGGUGACCUCUGGCUCUGAUACAACAUGAAACGAACCAGCCCCACUAGACAAUAUAACUCCGUUGGGCCCGAACCCACAGCCCAAAAUGCUUAAGCCCAGUUAUUAUUACUAGUAUCUAAGUCUCUUAUAAACCCAAUGACAACCCUAUUCCCAUCCGAUGUGGGACUAUUGGGGUGUCACAGACUCCCCCCGUUAAGGCCCUGACGUCCUCGUCAGUCCUCACACACACAGCCCAAGAUCACCAGGCUAUGUGAGACUCGUCUCGCUAGCCCGUCAUCCAGACCCUGGCUCAGCCGAGACUCGCCACACAUGUCCAGCUAGUGAACCAGCUCUGAUACCAAACUGUGACACCCCAACUUCCCAGGGGGUCACCCAUCCUAGGACUACUCCCGUCCUAGCACGCUUAACUCUCUUAACCUCUUGAGCCUUGCCACCACCCAAAAUGUUUAAGCCGGGUUAAGAGUUUAGCCAUAUUAUAUCUCAUAUAUAUGACUAUCUGGGGUCUCACAGUGUUGAUGGAGACGUCGGCAAGGGCAACGAGGGCAAAGGCGAGGCGGCGGAGAAGGGCGAAGGGGAUGUGGCUGAGGGCGAGGCAGUGGAGGUCGGCGAGGCGGCGAGGCAGCAAGCCGGAGGGAGGCGAAGCAACAAAGAAGAGGGCGGAGGGGUAUUUUCAGCAUAAAAAAAUAUUUUAUAACGGAACCCUAACGGUAGGGAAUGAAGUGCACAUUUUUUAUUUUACAAGGGGGCAAAAUGUAAGUUUUUAAAUGUCAGAGGGGAAAAGUGAAAAAGCAGGUUAUUACAAGGGAAUUUUCUGUAAUUUAGCCAUUUUUUUAUUUGAAAUUUUAUACAUGGCUAAUCUAGGUUUGAUCUAAUUGGCCCAACCAAUCAGGCUUUACAAUCUAUCUCAAGUAUAAAUUUAGGUAAAUUACCCUUCUAGCCUCCAAAUUUUUAUGAAAGUUUUACAUUGACCUUUGUUUUUUAAAAGUAUACAUAAGUCAAUCUUGAAUUAUCACAAACAUAUCAAAUUGACUAAUUUUAUCAUUUAAUGCUGAGUUCAAUAGCCAAAGGUGACACCGAGACUAGCUAAGUUGGGGCCGUUUGGCUUGGAUAGUGAAAAAGUAAUUUUUACAAAAUUGAUUUUGGUUUAGAGAAUUAAUUUUGAUUAAAAGUUAUACAGUGUUUGGCCGAGUUUAGAUAAAAGUAAUUUUUUUGAAAUGAUUUUAUAAAGCUGUUUGGUAAAAUUUUUUUUUGAUGUUUGCAUAUAUAUACUAAAUUUUAUUUUAAAAUAAUUUAAAUUUUAAAUUUAAAUUUAAAUUUAAAUUAAAAAUAAAAUUUUUAAUUUUCUAAUUUGUACAAAAUUUAAAUUUUGAUAUUUUAAUUUAAAAAAAUAAAUUUGAAAUUUGAAAAUAUAAAAUUUAAUUUUGAUUUUUUAAAUCUUAAUUGAAAAAUUGAAUUCAUAUUUAAAUUCUAAAAUUUAAAAUUUGAAUAUUUAAAUUUACAUUUUAUAAUUAAAUUUUAAAUUUCAAAACUUUAAAAUUUGAAUUUUAAAAAUAUGAUAUUUGAAUUUAAAAUUUUGAAAUUUAUACUUUGAAGAUUAAAACUUGUAAUUUUAAAUUUUAAAAUUUAAAUUUUAAAAUUUUUAAAUUGAAUUUUAAGUCUAAAAUGUCAAAAUUUAAAUUUUGAGAUAAAAUUUUAAAUUUGAAGAUUGAAAAUUUGAAUUUUAAAUUUAAAAUUAAAUGUUCAAAUUUUAAAUUUCAAAUUUCAAAUCUAAAUUUUGAAAAGUUAAAAUUUCAAGUUUUAAAUAUGAAAUUAAAAAUUUUAAAUAUGAAUUUAAAGUUAAAAUAAAAUUUUGUAGUUUGACUCCAAAAUCAAAAUCAGACUUCAAGAAGCAGUGUUGUUGCAUGGUUUGAUUCUUGUGGCCUUCAAAGUUAGUUUUCUGAUUCUGACUAGGGAUGUCAAUGGGUAUGGAUAUCCGAAUUUUAUCCAAACUCGAACCCGAAUAAACGAUAUAUCCGAUGGAUAUGGAUAUGAGAUUUAGAUAUGGAUAUCAAAAAUAGAAACCGACGGAUAUGGAUUCGGAUAUGAUUUUGAUUGUACCCGACCCGAACCCGAAACCCGACCCGAACCCGACCCGAAUCGAAUUUAUUUUUUAUUAUAUAUAUAUAUAUAUAAUAUAUAUAUAUAUAUAUAUAUAUAUAUAAUAUAUAUAUAAUAUAUAUAUAUAUAUAUAUAUAGAGUUGAGCUAGAAUACUCUCGAUAGUAAACGGAGCGUUUUACUAUCGAGUUGUUUUCGAUGAUCAGAGCUUCCAAAUUGACGAUCGGCUCCGUUGAACAUGAUCAUAUACCACUUGAAGUGUUUAGAAAUCAAAUUUCAAAUUUUUCGACAUCAUUGCUAAUGACAAAGGAUUUCAAAAUUGUAAUUUUAAUGGUGGAUAAGAGACGUUUUCUCGUUUAACGGUGUAAAGAUAUCCAAAUCAAUUGAAUUUUGUGUAGAAAAUCUUAAACUAUUUAUAAACAAGAUCUAUACUCUUGAUCUUGAUUACAGAUCCUAUCAUCAUUUUUUAAAGAAUAUUCAUUUUCAGCCAUCAUUUUUGUUCACUAGAUGGAUAAAAAGAACAAUAUCGAAAAGUGCGUGAAAUUUGAUUUCUUGGUAGUUUAAAUGGUUUAGACAUAUUUUAACGGAGCCGAUCGUCAAUUUGGAAGCUCUAUCAUCGAAAACAACUCGAUAGUAAAACGCCCCGUUUACUACUAUCCUCAGAACAUUAGUUCUAGUUCUCAUAUCUAGAACAAAAUUGAUGUUAUAUUUGAAUUUGUAUUUUAAAAAUUUAGGUUUAAUAUAAUAUAUUUUGAAAUAUUGAAAAAAGAAAUAAUUGUUUCGGGUUCAAAUUUUCGGGUUCGGGUUCGGGUUCGGGUUUCAGAUUUUUGAUCGGGUUCGGGUUUGGAUAUGGAUUUUUAAAAUCCGUCGGGUUCGGAUUCGGGUUCGGGUCUCGGGUUUGGAGUAAGGUUCGGGUUCGGGUUUUUAAAAAUCCGCCCCGAAUCCGACCAGUUGAUAUCUCUAAUUCUGACAAGCAAAAUCAGAUUUUUCAACACUUGUACCCAAUGCUUUACUGAGCCCAAAAUUAUCUUUGGCUCAGAAUCACUUUUCAGAAGCCGGGCCACAUGCCCCCUUGGUGUCUUGUUGAUAAAGCUCUACGCUAGAAGGUGCUAUAAUGGUUAAAUAUAAAACUAUUUAAAUAUUAUUUAUUACUAAUUUAAAUUUUUGGAGAUUAAUAAUUAUUUCAUAUAAUAUCAGAUUAGGAGAUUCUGAAUUUCAAUCAUGUCAGACUUGUAGCAUAAUUGAUUUUUUAUUAUUUAAUUUAAUUUCACAUCAUGGGCCUAACAAAAUAAUCUCGAGCCUAACUGUGACGAAAAUUGUUAAAUAUAAAAAUAUUUAAUACUGUUAUUUUUGAAAAAUAAAUACUUAUUGGACAGUUGUCAUUAAAAUUUAGGGAUAAAUAACCAAACAAGCGAAUUUGAUAUAUUGGAUGAGAAUUUGAAAAGAAUAUUAAUUUCAAUGAAGGGUCAAAGUAAAACUUUUGCUACCCAAUUUACCCCUUUGCUUUUGUCAAUCCCCAUGCAGCAGGUGACUUGAAUUCUAAUGAGAAUUAAUGUUAGCUCCACUUGCUCUGUCCUUAACAGCUGUGUCGGCUCUUGUUCUUUUCCACAUAUUAUUAACUCUCAAAUACCCACCGUCUCUAAAGCAAAUGAUAAAAGACUCAGAUAAUUGGUACUCAAUAUCAUAAGUUAGAAUCCUAAUUGAUUUACAUUUCUAGUUAAGUUUAAAAAUAUAAAAAAAAAGAAAAGAAAGGAAAAGAGAGUAAUAUAUGUUUUAUAAUAAAUUUUACAAACUACAAAAUAAUAGGAUGAUAAAUUGUUAUAUUUCAUCUUCACGAAGAUUGUAAAAUAUACUACUUUGAUCGUCUUUAUGGUAAAAUAAAAUUAAAACAACAGAAUAAUAAAGUGCAAAGUUGUUAAAGAAAAGUGCGAGACAGUAAAAACAUGCAAAAAAAAAAAAAAAAAAAUUAAAGCUUACUGUAAACAUAAUAAGGGAUGCACGUACGAGGACUCUCUAAGUUUAGGUUUGCCGAAAUACACUCUAAACUUUCAAUUUUACUAAAUUCAACAGUCACACUGGCAGUGUAUAUCUAUUAUUGAUGAUGCUACAAAGCUUCAAAAUACAAAAGAAGCUAUUUCUAUUCUCAGGGAUGAAACUAAGGGUGCGUUUGGUUCAGAUUAUCCUAACAGGAUUACAGAUAAUUCUGUCAGGAUUACUAUUUUUGGUUCAUCUGGUAUAUAAUCUGGUUAGUAAUGUAGCAUUACAAACGGUACAGAAUUACACAAAAAAUAUUACCGAGAGUGGGGUGUGUAUCUUGGAUUACUGGCUGCCAGUAAUAUUACAUAUUAUGCAAAAUGACAAUUUUACCCCUUUAACUUUCGAAACUCUUUCAAUACGUCAUUUUAAAAAAUUUAAUUUAAAGUUUUAAAUUGUGAACUUUUAAAAUUUAAAUUUAAAUUUUUAAUUUUUAAUUUUUAAAUUUUAAAUUUUAAUUUUUUAAACUUCAAAUUCAAAUUUUAAAUUUUAAAUUUUAAAUUUAAAUUUUAGAUUUCAAAUUUCAGAUUUCAGAUUUUAAAUUUCAAAUUUUAAAUUUUAAACUUCAAACCAUUUGAAAUCUAAGAUAUCUGGAUAUAUUAAAAUACUCUGUAAUAUUACAUAACUCGAACCAAACGCGCCCUGAAGUAUUAUGAUUGAAUAAUAAGGUGAAUUUAUUUUCAAUUUUUCAAGUAAUAGAACAAAAUUAAUAGCUGGUUUCACUGCAUUCUAAACUUUGACAAGGUCGCAUGAAAAAUAUUAUUAACUCUGUUUGUUUCACCGAAAAUAAAGUUCAGAUUAAAAUAAACUUUAAAUAAUAUAAAAAUAGAAAUGGAUUAAUAUUUUAUUAACUUUUUCUCACUUUUUUUUUUUCGUAGUUGACUUCGGUCACGUUUUUUUGGAGAACUUGAAUUUCCACGGAAGGUAAAAAGGUUAUGAUAAAUCAAACAUCAUGAGUGGACAUAUGCAAUCGAAAACUAUUUUAUUCUCUUUCUUUUGGGUGAAACAAAUAUGCUUUAGAGGGGCUAACUGAAUUAUUUAAUAAAAUUUGCAAAAAAAAUCCAAUUGCCACUAUUAAAGGUAUGUGUUUUAUUUAUUUAUUUAUUUUUUUGCAAAUAAUGAUGCACACAGCUAAUUCGGUGCUAUAGGCACAUGUGGGAUUGUUAACAACAAACACAUUGCUUACAAUGACAAGUCUAGGGCUGGCAAACGAGCGAGCCGGCUCGCGUUCGACUCGUGUUCGGCUCGAUAUUCGGCUCGCUCGAGCUCGACUCGAAAUUAAAUGAGCAGAGCUUGAAGAAAAUAAAAUGCUCGAAAUUCAUUUCAAGCCGAGCUUGAGUAUUACUCGGCUCGUUCGAAUUAGGCUCGAAAAGCUCGAAAGCUCGAAAAAAUAUACAUAUAAUAUUUAUAAAUAUAAUGUAUUUUAAUUAUAUAUGGAUUUUAAUUUAAUUUGGGCCAUUAUUAUUGACCCAUAAAAUAAACUCAACAAGUACAACUGUGCAAUUGAGCCCAACUCUAAAUUACAUAACACACUAUCUCUUUCAGACUUUCAUUGUUGCACAUAACUCUAAAACAUGAAAACAUUCAAAUUUUCAAAUCUCUAAUUUUUUCUCCCCCCUCUCUCUCUCUCUAUCUCUCUGACCCUCACCUAGUCAGACAGUCACCCUAACUUACAUUUCUUACAAUUAUUUUGUAUUUUGAACUAUUGAACAUGUUGCAUCAAAUUAUAGAUAAUGUUUUAUAAAAUUAAACUAUUGAUUAUAUAAUGUCGAGAAUUUCAAUCGGCUCAUUUAGAGCUUGAGCUUGACUCGACUCGAAAUUAGGCUCGCUCGAGCUCGGCUCGAAUUAAUUUCAAGCCGAACUUGAGUCUAGAUUUAGGCUCGAAAUUAAUUUCAAGCCGAAUUUGAGCUGACAUAAGCUCGCUCGAGCUCGGCUCGUUUCCACCCCUAGACAAGUGUCAAUCGAUGGGAGCUCACACUGUUUGUCAAAUGAGUCUUACUGCAGAGCAUGUCAUGAUGAUGAGUUCUCCCUACUUAAUCCGGGGCCCACCACCAUGUUGCUACCCAGUGCAACCACCUGGUGCCAGGCGCGCGCGUGGUCCCUCCUCUUCUGGUUAUGCCAAAUUCAGAAUUGGGUUGUUCAAAAAUAGUUGCCGAUAGGGAUAGGGAUUGCAAACGGGGCAGAUCCAGGGGGGGACGGAAGACUCUGCAAGUCUCUGGACCCGCUGAUACUGAAUCCGGCUCGCCCUUUCUCUAGCCUCUAUGACAGAGUGAAAAAUAUAACUUGUCUCGUCUAAGAAUUUAUAUUUCACACCGAUCGUGCCCAGUGCAGGUGGCAAAGAAUUUGAUGAUUUGUAUUCGAGGUUCCGAAUUUGAAUCUUAGUUAAUUCACAUUUUCAACUAAAUUUAUUUUUAAAUAAAAUAUAUGAAACGAGUAACAUGCUGCCUAUCUUUCUCAAAAAAAAAAACUUGUGUUUCAUCUGAGCUAAGGCCUUCUUUGGUCGUAUUAUUUUUUAAAAUAUUAAUUCUAUAAUAUUUUAAUGUAUUAGAGAAAAUUUUUCCUUUUAUUGGUUAUUUUACAAUAUAUUCGAUUAAAUGGAUAUUAAAAUAAAAAAAAAAUUAAUGUGCCAAAUAAAAAAAUGAUUGUUUUUGGAUGAAGAUGGUGUUAGCAAUAACAUUGCUCUUUGUUUAAGAAAAAUUCUACUUGUACAUUUUAGAGGGAUGUAGAUCUUACAUUUUUCAUUUUAAGAUUUAUAAAAUCCUAACCGGUUUCAGUUUGUUUUUAUAAAAAAGUUCAUGUGAAAAAUAUAAAAUAAUGGCUCAGAAUGAAAAGGUAUAAGAUUUACACGUUACUUUGGAAAAAGGUGUAACAAUAGUGUUGCUCUUUAUUUUUCAAAAAAUUAUUUUUAGAUUUUUAUUUUUAUUUUUUACUAAAUAAAGAUUUUGGGAUGAAAAGAUAGGAAGUAAUCAACUAUGGGCUCCUACAUUUUUUAUAACAAAAGUAUUUUUUUUAUUUUUACUCAAAGUUAAAUUUAAAUUUUUAUUAUUUUAAUUAAAAAAUAAAAAUAUAAUAGAGUAUCAUAAAAUCAUCUCUCUUAAAUCACACUUAUUUUAGAAAGAAAUCAUUUGAGGCAAGUUAUGAUAAGUAAUCGAACAUUUAUGCAUUGUUACCGAUACCGCUUGCCACGUUACGUUCCGCCUCUCAAGUCUCGUGGGCACCGCGCUCCACGAAUUCUCCCUUGGUGUGCCUUACUUAACGAGCCUAAGAAAUCAGGGGCGCGGAGUGCCACAGCAAAGCGAGGGUUAGGUGGACGGUCGAGAGCACGAGGUGUGGGCUUUCUCGCUAGGAGUGAUGGGACACGAGGGGCGUACGAGUUGGAUGCGAAGCACAGAGGUGCGAAGUAUUAUCACGCCCCGGGACCGCCUAUUUGGUCGGUUCAGGCACGUGCACAGAUCGCCGAACGGACAGAAUUUUUCCUAUCCGCCGAAGGCUCCACAGAACAAGUACAUCGAAUUUUCACUCAGAAAAAACAGCAUAAUACAGUUUUGCACGAGGGCAUAUCACAAGAGCAAGAAUGUAAUUUUGGAAAUGGGAAUGUAAUUGUAUUUGGAGGAAUCAUUCAUGUAUUAAUGUAAAGUUGAAUUGUGUGUAAACUGUGAAUAUUCCAAUGUUGUAGCCAGUGGCAUACAGGAUUGCUCUAUCCCUACGACUGGCCGGUAUUCAUGAUGUAUUCCACGUCUCGGCGUUGAGGAGAUACGUAUUUGAUCCCUCACACGUGAUUGACUUCACUCUACUUGAACUUGACCAGGAUCUGAGGUACGAGAAGCGACCGGUGCGGAUUCUUGCUGGAGAGACGAAAGAAUUGCGCAACCGGAUCAUCCCAUACGUAAAAGUGCAAUGGAGUAAUCACGAGAAGUGUGAGGCGACUUGGGAGCCGGAACGGUGAUGCAGGAGUUCUACUCCUACUUGUUUGAGGCUCAGGGUUGAGAUAUGUUUCUAAGUUUCGAGGACAAAAUUUUUUGUAGUGGGGAGGAUGUAGUGUCUCUGGUGUUUAGCGGUCGGUAUAAUUUCAGCAUCUGAGACUUGUCGAUACGUCUGGGGAGUGUCGCAACAAGUUGGAGUCGUUUGGCACGAAAUGGAUGCAAAACAGACUCAGCGCAGAGCGAGAGUGGAGUUUUGACACUGAAAUCUGCAAAGUGCAGGAUUUCAGUAUUGAGUACCGGUACCUGGGGAGAAGUACUGGUACCUCAGUGUGUUAGCAGAACUGGAUGCUCUCGAUUUGCGUAAAUCUGCUGCUGAGUACCGGUACCUGUUGUAGAGUACCCGUACCGAGCUCGGGUACCAGUACUGCAUCGGGCUGGUACCGGUACCCAGCGUGCAAGACCGCAAGUUGAGGGGUCGAGUACCGGUAUUCAAGUGGGGUACCGGUACUCCAGCUGUAUUUUUGAGUAGGUAAGGGAUAUUUUGGUCUUUUGAAGAGGCCUUCAACCCAACCUUAUUCUCAGCCUUUAUAUAUAUGUGUAGAGAGUUCAGAGAGGAGAAUUUCUUUGCUGCUUCCUCUCUCUCUCUCUAGUUUUGGACGUCGUUCGUGGUGGAGGUCGCGGCUUGAGCUCGAGUGAUUUUCGAUGUUGCUUCGGAGGGCCGUUCGAGCGCGUGGGCAUCGCAGUUGCGCCGUUGGAGUCCGGGUGAGCGGGUAGAUUUUCCCUUUUCGACUUCUUGCUGUUAUUGGACGAGCUUUUCGAGGUGGGUUAAUGUUUACCGAAAUCGUCGAAUUUCCUCCUAAGUCAGAAUUUUUGUCAGCAUGUAUGUUUUUGUGUAGUAUCAUGUUUAGAAGAUCAAUUCAUCGAUUUGCAUAGUUUUUAUGGAAUCUGAGUUUAGAGCCUUAAAUUCUAGAAUUAUUUUUACAUGUUGGACUUGGAAUUGACUUAGGAGAAAACCAAUAAACUCUACACUGUCAUUUCUAAACAGUUACCAGAUUUAGCUUUAGGAGUUAUUAUUAUUUUGUAUCGCCGCUAUUAGUGCAAGGUAGAUACCUAGAUUAGUGUAGCUGGAGUUUACGCUUGUGCUAGGAGGCUGAGCUCGUUUUACAGUUAUGUGUAGACUGUUUCGUACUGUCGGGUGCUGUUGCAGUUAACGAUGGACCCAGAUUCCGUAUCUUGCAUCAGAUUGUGCCAAAAGCACGUGAUCUUUGGUUGUUAAACCAGUGAGACUUUUUUCAUUGACUACAGCCUGUGAGAGCCUGAUUGAGCUCGGCAGAGAUACGCUUGCAUACUCGGUUGGGUCGUUCCCAUAAGUGCCGUUCCGGAGUGAGACUUUUACUUGCGUUGUAUUGCAGCCGUCCUGGUUUGGACCGUUUGCUUAGACCGACCACUGUUAGAAAAUUGCGUACGGUAAAAACGCAGCGGAAAAAGAAAUCAAACAAAUUUGAUUUUUGAAAACUCUCGAGAUCAAAUCUCAAAACCACGCAAUUAGGAUCCCUUAUGUUCUUUAAGAUUAACGGAGAAAAGUAAGAUCGAAUCAUUACCUUUUCGCGGAUAAAUCCUUACCUCAAUUUGAUGAUCGUGGAAUCGGGUUCUCUUGAAGCCGCACACGCGUCCGGCCUCUAUAGGUAUCCACACGAGGUUCUUGAUUUGAUCGAUGUCCUCACCGGGGUGCUAGCUCCCUUGCAAAAGGACGUCUUUCUUGCUAGAAGAUGGAAGAGAGAAGAGAGGAUAGAUGACGGCUUGGGUUUUCUAAAAACUCCCGUAUAUUAUAUAUAGGAAUAUAAUCCUAUUCCUAAUAAUAUAAUGACAAUUAAGGAUAAGUAUAAAUCUAGAUUUAAAUUUAUCUUUUCCUUAAUUGGUUAGAUCGAUCAAAUCCUAAUUUGAUUCGACUUGAAUUUUAUAUUAAUUUGAUCUUAUCAAAUUAAUAAUGCAACAUUUGCACAUAAGUCCUCUUAUAAUUUACUAACUAUUAGUAAGUCCUCUCUUGUAACAUUUACACUUUAAUACCACUAAUUUGUAACAAUUACAAAUUAGUCCAAUUAUCAACAUAUUGACAAUUAGGUCCUCCGGCGAUUCAAUAAUCGCGAUCUAGCUAUCCGAUCAAUCACAACCUCUUAUGUGUGUGACCCCAUAGGUUCUAUUCUAUCUGGUAGUGAGAUAUAUUUUGAUCACUAUCAACAAUAUCACUGAAACUCCUUUCAGUGGAUCGGAACAAUUCCAACUCAGCCCAAUGAGAAUUAUCGAUCAUCUAGAUAAUUCUCAUGAGUCUCACAAUCCACCAGUGACGCCUAGCAGCAUGUAGUGGCAUUCCAGUAGAAUGGAAUACUGAACCUCUUGGUGCAGUUACCGUGUGAUACAAUCCUUCUAUCAUGAGUCCCGACUAGACGGAGGUUAUGGAAUAACUCGUCAAACCCCAUCGUCUGUCAUAUGUUAAAUUUAUUCGACUCGAGUUUCUAAUAUCGGAAACCCUUUUCCGCUAUUUAUUCUGCCCUGGCCAAGGUCUUCUAAACUCGGUCUCAUAAAUCACAUAGGACUAACACCCCUAUCUACCAAGGGAGAUAGAUUCCAUCUGAGUGCGCACCCUAUUCCUACAAUGAACCUACUGCAGCCAACAUGCACCGCAAGGACCCGAAUGGCUAGGGACCAAGUGUAUGUACAGUCAAACUACAGUAACCUCAUUGUGAAUAGCCGAGGCACCGCAGGUCAAAGGACCAGUCACACUACUGCAACAAUUGAGUAAGUCACUGACGAGUGAGUAGACAUCCAAGUGACUUCUCGCGUUGGUCACGCUCGGUACCCUUGUUCUCUAACAACCACCUGCAUAUUCGCUUCAGUGUCCCCACACUGUCGACUCGAGACUCGUCUACCCAAAAGGGAAGCGACCUAUGCACUAAUCUCACCGGAUCAAUCACCGUCCCCGUGAUGAUCCAUUGAUCGGGAGCAUUUAGGAAUUAAUCACCAAUGACACAUGUCUCAAAUUCUCAACUCUUGAGAAUAUAUGUCAUCAUCUUAUUAAUUCCUUGGACGAUUCAUGGACACAUACACAAUAUGAAUGAAAAUAAAAACCCAAAGUUAUUCAUAAUAUUUUAAAAUCAAAUACAAAAUUAUGUCCUAGAAAGAAUACAUGUGUCGGCCUGGUUGGCUUCUAGGGCAUACAUCUAACACCAUCCCCGUGGGUGGUGUACGAUGCGGUUUGGUUACAGAUAGGGUGGGCCCAUUUGGGCAGUCCCAGUAAGAUUGGGUCAGUAUGAUGCAUAGUUAUAUCUGCAGAUAGAUUGUAUUAGUUAGCGAUAGUAUAAUGACAUGUAGCUGUAGAGUUCUUUCCAGCUUUCUUUACUAUCCUUUGUGCAUAUUUCUGUAAACUUACUGGGUGGGCCGUUGAGGUCGGUGGCGGUACCCACUGAGAACUAUUCUGUUUUGCAGUAGUUCUCACACCUAAUUGCUGACCCCCUUUUUAUAGAGUCUUCGUCUGCGGUUGCUGCUAUUGCGAAUUCGGACCGUGGGAAGGGAGUUGCGAGCUAGAUCCCUACCAGUCUUAUCGUCGUGCUAGAGGAGUACCAUCUAGAGAUAGUUUUGGAGUUUUCUUUGUACAUACGUUAUGUUGUCGUUGAUAGAUUAUUUCAUAUGAUUUUACAUAUGGAUAGAUUUUCUUUCAUAUGGAUUUACAUAUGGAUUGAUUAUUUCUUUGUACAUAUCUAAACUAAUGAUUUAAAACCUGAGUGGAUACCCGAAAUUUUCUUUGUACAAAGAAAUUUGAUUGUUUGAUUAUUUGUACAUAUAAUCUUAACAACCUGAAAAUCCUAAUAAUUUAUCCAUAAAUCCUAACAAUCAAAUAAAAAUUCUAAUAAUCUACCUAUAAUCCUAACAAUCUCACUUUUUUCUAUUUUCUAUCUAACAACCUCACUUUUUCUUUUUUUUAUAUGAUCUACAUAUAAUUCUAACAAAAAUGGUGAAUCAUUAACCACGCAUUUCAGAAAAAAACCUACGUUAUUCCGAAAAAUCCUACGUGAUUCCUACGUGGCGAAGAGAAAAUUAAUUUGUCAAAUAUAAAUUUGACAGAAUUAUUUUAUAAAUUAUAAAAUUUUAAAAAGUUAUUUUGUAAAAAAAAUCCUCCGGCCAAUUUUAAAACUCCGAGAAUGAGUUGGAUUGGCAGUCCUAUUACCGAUUGAUCAUUCCCAAUGGACACCGGGUGAUCAUUCCUAGUGGACUUAGGAGUGUUUGGUUUCAAAAAUAUAUGAAUAGCUAUUUUUAAGAAAAAAAUAUUUUGUUCAUAGGAUUUAUUUUUCGAAUUAAAAAUAAAAAAAAACACAUUUUUUUAUAAAAUUUGAAAAGAAAAACUUCUAUAAAAUUAUUUUUUCUAAAAAGUAUAAGUUUUAAAAGUAUUUAGCUAGAAAAUUAGUUUUUAAAAUAUUUUUCAAAAAUCCAAACACCCUCCUAUCAAUGGUCGGCAAAUAUCACACUGGGUACCAUGAGAGGAGGAAGUCUACUACAUAGUAGAUACAUCACAUCAUCUAUAUUCAGCUAAUCGCAGUUGUUUUUUUAGAAAAAAGUAUAGUAAAAUUAGUAUGGGUAAAUCUUAAGAUAUCGUUUGAUUCAGAAAUAAGAUGUUCUUAGUUAUUCCUAAUAUAGGUACAAUUUUUGAAAUAAGUAGGAAUAAGAUCAAUUUUGCGUUUCAAUAAAAAUUAGAUUGUUUUCGAAAAUAAAAGAAAAUAAUGUUUGGAUGGUUAGAUUGGAAUAAUAAGAAUAAAAAUAAUUAUAGUUUCAAAAUAAUAAUAUUUCAGCUAAUUAAUUAAGGUAAAAAAUAUUAAUUUAUUAAUAGUUUAAUUUUAUUAAUUAAUUUAUCAUGAAUAUGUUAAAGAUAUGCCUUCUUUUUUAUUGAUUUGGUUAAUACACCGGAUUUAUGGAAAAAUAGAAAGGAUCCCAUGAGGAUUUAUUUUGGUGGAUCCUAAUUUAAAUUGGAAUCCUAGGUGGACUAGGAUUAGUUUUCCAUAUAAUACUCUAUAUUCAAUAAUCAUAUUGAACUAGUGUAGAGACCCGCGCGAUACAGCGGAUAAACAAUAGAAGCAAAAUUUUAAACUUUUAAUAAAAUUUAUAUUUACAGCUUAUUGAUGUAUAGGAAGCUAUAUCAUGUUAAGUAUAGUCAAUUUGCAUGACUAAAUUCAGCAGCUAAAAAAAUAAAAUUAUAGUUAGAAGCUUAUAUAAUUUUUUUUAAAAUCAUCAAAAUACAGUAAGAGACAUACAAUUUUAUCGUAUUAUGUGCCUAUUGAACAUUCCAUUGUGAAAGAUAAAAAAGAGUUAGCUCCAAUGCAGCUGAAUCAACCCAGCGGACACUUAUAUGGGCCGCGGCUCGACUUUGCGGGACGAUACUUCUUGAAGGAGACAACGUUCUUUAUAUGUUCUUCUUCUUCUUCAUCAUUCUUAUCAUUUUUAUUAACACAAUGAGAGAGAGAGCUAGAUGAGUAUGGGGUGGGAGAUUAGAUGAUGAUAUUCUUUUUUGCAUGGAAAAUAACAGGCCAUGUAAAAGAGAGGGGGGCGGGGGAUUAAUAGAGGUGAGGAGUGGAUUGGAAUUACAAAGCCCACUCAUUGAUAGAAUAUGAUGCAUAUAAUUAAAUAUUGUAUUUUGGAUUAAUUAAUUAUCAUGAUUUCAAAGAACUGAGGAGGUUUGAGGGAGAAGAGGGAGAAAUAGAAAUAACCAAUAUUGAAGAGAAAAAUAAGUAACGUAUAAAUUAAAGAGUGCAUUGAUUAAAUGUUAUUGAAUAGAGAGAAGGGGAGAGGAAAAGCCAAGAUCAUUGAAUAGGAGGUGAGGUUGAAAGAAAACUUGCCACGUGGCAAAAACAUUGGGAAUUCAUAUAUGUUAAUAGAUUAGAGUAGGAUUGAGCCAAAUCCCUCUCUAUAUAUACAUGCAUGCCUAUGCAACUGGUUGGAGAGGCGUCAUGUGUGAGAAAAUUAAUUAGCAUCGGGCUAAUUAAUUCACAAGCUUCCGGAGGUGUACGGCAACAAGGAAGGGGAGUCGUGUAGAGGCCAAAUUAAUUAGCACCCCGGCGUCAUGAACCGUACGGUUCUUGGUGGUGCAUGAGGCUUAAUUAAUUAGUAUGCAGUGAAGCUAAUUAAUUAAGGUGGCCGGCUCUCUUCAUGUAUGGCCGUACGGUAGCAAGAGAAGGAGAUGCGCGGUAGCACGCAUGCGACGGAUUGACGUUGGCGGCGGAGCGGCGGUUCUCAACCAAUUGCCUGAGCGGUUCGGAUUCUUCAAAGCAACGGCAUAAAGGAAUUUGGUUAGAGUUUUCUAUACUUCUCUAAUUUGGUCUUCUCGGUUUUACGAAAAGCUUUUUCGGUAUUUUCUUAGAGUUUUCGUUGGAACAAGAAAUGUGGAAUUCACCAUAAGAUUCUUGGUUUUUAUCCAGAGAAGACAUAAGGUGUAAGUUUGUACUUCUAUUUUUUCAUAUAGUGGAAUACAUCUCUCUCGCUCUCCCCGUGGACGUAGGCGAUUGCCGAACCACGUAAAUCUUGGUUUCUUCUUUCUGCAUUUAUUUCUUUUACCGUUCGUUCGGUGUUUUCUCUAUUUUUCGUGCAUCUUUGUUGGUAGCACAUGACGGACGAUCCAUCCGGUUCCCAACAGAAUACUACUAGAUAAUCAUAAAUAUUAAUUAAUAACUUAGUUAACCACAAGUGGUUUAAUAAAUUAAUAAAUCAAUUUACCUAAUUAUUUAAUAGUUAGAUAAUUAGUUAAAAAAUAAUUAGAUUAGUAAAAUAUUAAUUACUUAAUUAAAUAUUAAUCAGAGUAAUAAAUUGAGUGGUUAAUUAUUUGUUUAGUUAAUUAAUAAAUUAAUUAAUAUAUAGUACAUUAAUUAUAUAUAUUUUAUUAUUAAAUUAGUAUAGUUAUAAGCGGAGGAAUUGUUGUUUCACUAAACCGUUGAACUAGGAAUUUUUUCUUGUAUUUGGAAAUAAAGAGGGAAAUAAAACCCUUAUUCUCCUUAUUUCCCUUCUUGUUCUAUAACCAAACAAUACCUAACGAAAUAAUUUGAUUGGUUCGAAGUAACACAUCACUAGGAAUGUCAAUGAAUCGGAUUCUGAAUGGAUUUUCAAAAAUCAGAACCCGAACCUGACUCCAAAUACGAAACCCAAACCCAAAUCCAAACGCAACGGAUUUUAAAAAUCUAUAUCUAAAUCCGAACUUGACAAAAAAUUUGAAAUCUGAACCUGAACCCAAAAAUCUGAACCUAAGAUAAUUAUUUCUCUUUUCAAUAUUUUAAAAUAUAUUACAUUAAAUCUAAAUUUUUAAAAGAAAAAACUUCAAAUACCUCUUCAGUGAUUUUGCACUUUCUCACUUUAGUACCCUAUGGUUUAAAGUGUACCAAGUUAGUACCCUAUGGUUUUGCACUUUCUCACUUUAUCAAGUUAGUACCCUGUGGUUUCGUACUUUCUCACUUUAGUAUCCUGUGGUUUAAUAUUUUAUCAAAUUAUAUAAAAAAAACUUCAGAUACCAUAUCUAGGUUUAUCGAAUAUUCAUUUUAGUAUCCUUUAGUUUUAACUUUGUUACUAAUUUAACAAAAAAAAACCCCGAAAUGGAUAAUAAAAAGAGAAAAAUAAAACCACAAGAUACUAAUUUGAUACAAAAAUGAAACCAUAGAGUACUAACUUAAUACACUUUAAACCACAUGGUAUUAAAGUGAGAAAGUGCGAAACCACAUGGUACUAACCUGAUCAUACAAUUUAAACCGCAGGGUACUAAAGUGAAAAAAUGCGAAACCAUAGGAGGAUUUUUGAAGUUUUUUUUUUAAAAUACAAAUUCAAAUAUAAUAUCAAAUUUUUAUAUACAUAUUAUAUAUAAUGUAAAUAAACAAAUUCGGAUUCGGGUCGGGUAUAAUCAAAUUAUAUAUCCGAAUCCAUAUCCGUCGGGUUUUUAUUCUUGAUAUCCGUAUCCAAAUCCAUAUUUGCUUCGAUCGGAUAUAUCCGUUCUGUUCAGAUUCGAAUUUGGAUUCGCAUAAAAUUUUGAAUAUUCAUAUUUAUUGAUAUUUCUACACUCUACAUGGCUGCUAUAUUUUAUAUAUAUUUUUUAAUUGUUUCAUAAGAGGGGCCAUAUUUUUGUGAGUGUGUCCCAGCCGUGACAUAUCACGGUUACACUGAAAGCUACCACCUCUCCCCAGUGGCCCGUGAGCUAUCAGUGUCGGCGACUAAGCGACAGGGAGGAGUGACACCGGAACCCCCUCAUAUACGACCAACUAAUCCUUAUUAGAUUAUAAGAAAAUAACUAGAAAAAUAUCAUAAUAAUUUGUAAAGUAUAAUAUAAUUUUAUUACCAUUUUCAGAUUUAUUGGUGCCAUAAAAGUAUAAUUUAAACCUUUUAAUAUUUAUUUUUAAUUAUAUUUUUGAAAAAUUUUUUGCACUUAGCCUUCUUAAAUUUUUUUAUAAAUGAUUCCUGUAAAAUUAUUAUUACAAAAAUAAUUCUAAACAUGAUAAUUUAUUUACCGUAUUUUAGAAUAGGAUAAUUGGAUUAUCGCAUCCUCUUUAUUAUGUCUCGAUGGUUCUUUUAAAUUUUUUCAAGCAGCUAGUCAAAGAGAAUAUGGUAACUGGAAAAUUGUGCUUCAGAAUACGACAAGUAAACUACCUUGUUCACCUGGAUGUUAGAUUUGUUAUCUGGUUUCUUGUUGUUAGAUCUAUUGUGGAUCACAGCCACACUCAACUUAUUAGUUUUCAAGACCUACUGUCAUGGAGUACUUCUUUGCGAUUCAGAAUACAAUAAGUAAAUUAUCUUGUUCAUCUGAACAUUAGGUCUAUUAUUUGGUAUCUUCUUGUUAGGUCUAUUGUUGACCUCACUCAACUUAUUAGUUUUCUCGGUCUACUGUCAUAGAGUAGGAAGUACUUAACACUUGCAUUGUUAAUACAGUACGUGAGAAUCGAACUAGCGCCACUGGCUCUAAUACUAUUUUGUUGAUCGUAAAUGCUAACCAAUUAUCUCAAAAGUGCAUACUGAUAGAAAGGACAUACUCAUCGUAUUUAAGGGCUCAUCCAAAACGUUCAUAGGUUUCAACUUGAGUCAAAUCACUUGAAUGUUAGAUUUAUUGUUCGGCUCAUUCAACUCAACUUAUUACUUAGUUACGGGAUAGAAAAUUGAAUCUAUUUUAGGCAAUAAUAAAUAACCAACACAUUCUUGUUCGGUAUGAUAUUUGUUUGGACAAAAAGAUCACUGGGGACGAGGGGGGAGGGGAGGGGGAGGGUUGGGGGUGGGUGUAAAUAAGAGUAGUUUUAUGAAAUUUUAAAUAGUGGGGAACUAAUUAUAAUAAACUAAUUGUAAUAAGAUAUAUAUAAAUAUUAAGAUGGAACAGUACAAAAAAAGAUAAGGGUUAAUUGCAUACAGGUUCCCGCAAAUAUGGUGAAUUGCAGAUAUAUCCUUGCAAAGUUCAACUUUUAUAAGUUAUCUCUGCAAAAGUCCUAAUGUAUGUAUUCAGAUAUGUUCUUCUGGUUAGCAUCUAUUAGAGAAUUAUUUAUUUUUUAACAGUAGGUUCGUGAAAUGACAUUUUUACCCUCACAAAUAUGUCCCUCCAAAACCUCCGGCCGGUAUACGUUUGCAGAAAUACCCUCACAAAUCUUCCUUUUUCCUUUUCUCUUCCUUUUUGGGCUAUGAGAGCGGGCGGCUGCGGCGGCGGCGGAGCGGAGCUUGUCAGAGUUACGGCCGAUGAGGACAAGGCUGAGGCCCGCAUCGACGAGGCGGAGGGCGAAUGUGCGGCCGAUUCGAAAAAAGAGGAGGAAAAGGAAAAGAAAAAGGAAGAAGGAGGAGAAGAAGAGGAAGAAGAAGAAGAGGAAGAGAAAUAAGAUGAAGAUGAAGAGGAAGAAGAAGAAAGAUCAAAUUAUCAAUUUACUUUAUUAAUUAACCAUAGUUAAGUAUUUUAAUCGUGGUUAACUAAAUUUUUUUAACAGAUCCUAACGGCAGGGAUAUAUCUGAAUACAUUAAGACUUUUGUAGGGAUAACUUAUGAAAGUUGAAUUUUGCAAGAAUAUAUCUACAAUUCACCAUGUUUAUGGGGAUCUGAAUGUAAUUAACCCUUAUCUUUUUUUGUACUGUUCUAUCUUAAUAUUUAUAUAUAUUUUAUUACAAUUAGUUCCCCACUAUUUAAAAUUUCGUCCUACUCUUAAUUAUUUAUUAUUUAUAAUUAUUUAUAAUUUAUAAUUUAUUUUGUUAUUAAUUAAUUAAUUAAUUAUUAAUUAACUAAUUUAUAAUUUAUAAUUAUUAAUAAUUUAUUAUCUAAUUAAUUUUUUAUUAAUUAAUUAAUUUGUAAUUUAUAUUUAUAAUUUAUUAUUAUUUAAUUUAUUAUUUAUAAUUAACAAAAUAUUAAUUAAUUAGAUAAAAUAAUUUUACUUUAAAAUUAUAACUCUUAUUCCUUUUGUUCCAAUCUAACAAUCCAAAUACUAUUUACUUUAUUCCUAGGAACAAUCUAAUUUUCAUCCAAACAUAAAAUUUCAUCCAAACAUAAAAUUGGUCUAUUUCCUGCUUAUACCUGAACUUGUACCUAUCUCUGGAAUAAACAGUUCUUACUUAUAUCCGAACCAAAUGCAGCUUUAGAGUUAAAUUAUAUUAGCAAAUUAUUAAAAACAACCGUUAUUUCUAUACAAAUACUAUUUUACCCUUUCUUAUUUGCCUUUAUAUGGGCAAAAUAUAUGUUUUUUUUUCUUAUUUGUCCUUAAGUCAGGAAUAAAAGAGGUAUUUUAAUUUUUUUUAAUUCUGAGAAUUUAAUCCUUUGGGUAUAUAAAAUAUAUGAGAAAUAUAUUUGAAACAAAAAAAGAGUAUAAAAUAUUUCAAAGAUUUGACGAGUAUAUUGGUAAUUAUUAUUUUUUUUGAGAGAAAGAUAGCAUGCUAUCUGCUUCGUUUAUUUCAUUUAGAAAUAAACUUAGCUAGAAAUGUGAAUCAACUAGGAUCUCGUGUAUCAACCACCAAUUUCUUUGCCACUUGCGCUAGGGACGAUCGGUAAUUAUGUUUUUAAAAAAAGAAAAGUUAGAGACUAAUGUGACAAAAAGGAAAAGGUCAGUGACUUGGGAACUAAUGAUGCAAUUAACCCUUUUAAAACCCAUGGUUAAAGCUCAACAUAUCUCUCUCUCUCUCUGUUCCCAGAUCCCCACUAUAUAGUUUAAAAAGUACCAAAUCGAUCAAACGACGCGAGAAAAUGGCCAAAAAAAAUAAUAAUACUUAAUUAAAAAAAAGGAGCUAAGUACCUCCCUCACUCGCUCCGGCGCGAGAGCUAAUUAGAGAGAGAGAGAGGGAGCCACAUUGCCCUCUUCGAUCCCAUUCUCCGACAAAAAUGCCAAAAAAAAUCUCAUACGAGAUCGAAAAGAUCGUUCUAGAAGGUCGAUCCGAUCUUUUUUCUCCUUCAAAUUCGCUUUAACGGAGCUUUCGCGGCGAAAAAUGGCGAAGUGUACGCGUAGAUAGGCGAUGUGGUGAUCCAAGAGGCGGCGGAGGCGAUGAGGCGACGAUAGGAGCAAUGCGUGGUGGUUGAUGGCGCGAGAUCAGAUUCGGUAAGGGUUUUACCUACGCGGAUCCGAUUAUUAGGGCAAAAGAGUACUAAUCUCAAUCCGAUCUCGGAUUAAAUGCCAAAAUUUUGAGAGUAUUAGUACGGAUUUCGUUGUAUUAGAGCGUUGGAUCUCGAUCUCGGAGUGAGAGAGAUGUAUACUUGAGCUCCUUAAUUUGCAUGACGUAGAGGUGGUUGGUGAGAAAUUAGAUCGGUGGAUGCGAAAAACAACCCGAUGGUUUUGAGUAUUUAAAGCUGCGACUUUGGAAAUUUGCACUGGUUUAUUGUUGUGGGGGAUUGAAUCGAUGGAGUCGCGGAUGGAUCAGUAUGAGAUCAUGGAGCAGAUCGGCAGGGGAGCCUUCGGGGCUGCGAUUCUCGUGAAUCAUAAGCAGGAGAAAACGAAGUAAGUUUGAAUCGGGUUAUCCCGAUGUGUAGUUGUUAUCAUCCUCUACUUUUAGGUAUGAAAUUCUCGCUUCUCAAUAUCUUGGAGAUCAUUCGGAUUUCAGGUAUGUAUUAAAGAAGAUUCGACUUGCGAGGCAGACCGAACGCUGCAGAAGAUCUGCUCAUCAAGAGGUCAGUGAAAACGAACUCUUGCGAAUUUAGUUAGUAAAGAACAAUUUCUUAUGGUUCGUGUGGAGUUUGAUUGCAGAUGGCUCUCAUUGCUCGGCUCCAGCACCCUUUCAUCGUCGAGUUCAAGGAAGCUUGGGUGGAGAAGGUUUCAUCUUGUAUAGCUUGUUCGAUUUUUAUUUGCGCCUUUGUGGUUCUGUUUUUGUUGAAAUUUUGCUUUGAUUGUAGGGCUGCUAUGUUUGCAUUGUCACUGGAUACUGUGAAGGCGGGGAUAUGUGAGUGUCCUCCGGCAAUGUGGGCUUUCUUUUCUCUUUCCUUUCCAAUAAAUCGUGCAUUUUGCCUUACUAUGGAUUUUAUGGCAUCUAAUAGGGCUGAGCUGAUGAAGAGAUCAAAUGGAACGUACUUUCCUGAGGAGGUGGCACAAUGAAUUUUGUUGUUAUUGUUAUACAUUGGUGAAAAUUUUAUUAAUUGAUAAUGUGUUAAUAAUUGCUAAUGCUCUUCAGAAACUGUUGAAGUGGUUUGCUCAACUGUUGUUGGCUGUUGAGUACUUGCAUUCCAACUUUGUUUUGCAUCGAGAUCUUAAGGUGCGUGCCAAGAUUAGAAGUAAAACUUGUAUGCUUUUCUAUUUUUGAUAAUGUUUAUGUGAUUUGUUUUGCGUAUUUCCUGUAGUGCUCAAACAUAUUUCUGACCAAGGAUCAGGACGUUCGUCUUGGUUAGUUGCUCAUGAUCGGAAAUGUUUUUUACUUGAGGGAUGUUUGGUUGGUGGUAAAACUGAGCCAAAAAUUAUUUUCGGCUUGGAAAACAAAUUUCCAAGCAUUUGGUUGCUUGUAAAAUAGUUUUUUGCAUAAAAUACUUUCAUGGAUUUUGCGGAAAAACCUGUUUUUUAUUUUCUUCUCUAAAAGAUCGGAAAAUGAUAACGGAAGGGAAAAAAAUGCAGUGCUGUGGCUUGGAGUACUCACUCGGUCCACAGAUGCAUGCAAGGCCUCGUGGACCAUGUGAGCUGUGUAGCUCGGUUUUCCACAGAACCCAGCAUAAUAUAUAUUAAUGUUAUAUACAUAGUGCAAUAAGUACCAUCAUAUAUGCAUAAAGCAUGGUAUUAACUAUAUAAGUAAUAUAUACUUUAGCAAAAACUUAAAAUAUAUUUUUUUAUAUAAUAAAAAAUAAAAACGAAAAAAAUUAAUUUUUUAAAUUUUCUUUUCCUACAAACCAAACAUCAGAAAACACAACAUUUUUUUCCAUCGAAAACUCUUUUUUGUGAAAAAUUGUUUUCCGCGGUUUUACGUGCAACCAAACACCCCUUAUUCUUUUCGUUUCCUGCCUCAAUUUGAUAACACUUUGUUUUAAUUAUGUUGCAGGAGAUUUUGGGCUUGCUAAGACUUUAAAGGCAGAUGACUUAGCUUCCUCUGUAUGGUUUUCCUUUACUUUAUAACUACUAUUCUAAUUUUCCACCUUAUUAUCUUUCUCAUAGUUUUAAUUCUUUACGUAAGCAAUUAAGUAGUAUAUAUUCUUCUCAUGCAUACGAUUAUGAAAAAUACCAUUUGUUUCUCGAAAUAAAACCUUUGCGAAACUAUUGCUUGGCAUCAAUGAAUUUGAACAGCAUGAAAUUUUAUAGUACUUGCAUGCAUAUUUUCACAUCAGAAUAGGUUAUUUUGAUAUUAAAUACUGUGUUGAUACUCUCCCUUCUUGGUUUAAGUAAGUUUUUUCGUGUGCGGUUCUUGAGUAAGAUUUUAUAUUUAUAUUAAGCCCAUCACUACAUUGUUGAACUGUGAUUGCACAUGUCAUAAUAGGAAGCUGUCCUUUUAAAGUUGUCUAGUUUACUGUUUGGAUUUUAAACCCCUCAUUUUAAGAAGUAUCUGACAUGAAACUAUUGGAAUUUAUCCAGUUUCUGCUAAGGCAUUUUCCUUUUCUGUAUUGCUAUUUAUGCAGCAGUAAUAAUUAAUAGAAAUUGCCAAAAAUGGCAUUGUUUUGCCAUAAGUGUAGCAUAACUACCUAAUGAUGUCAGCUUAUUUAUAACCACCUUUAAUUAGUUAUACGUUCAUCAGGUUGCAUAAUGUUUGAUUACCUUGAUUGUUAAAUUAUGGUUGGUAUUACAUUUUUUUCUUUUUCAGGUUGUUGGAACUCCAAAUUACAUGUGUCCGGAGCUGCUUGCAGAUAUUCCCUAUGGAUUCAAGUCAGACAUUUGGUCUCUUGGUAGGAUAGCCUUUAAUUUUUUUUGCUUUUAAGUAUGCUUAGAAUUGAGAGUAACUAUUUAUCUUGUGUCUGCUUUGGUGUGACAGGAUGCUGUGUGUAUGAGAUGGCAGCUCAUCGGCCUGCUUUCAAAGCUUUUGUACGUCUCUGUCAUCUCCUUUCAGCUGCAUCAUUGUGGCAUAGCUAUGGCAUACUGCUACUAAUCGACAAUAAUACCUAAUUUUUCUCUCCUUCCAAAUUUGCUUGUCUCAUGCAACUUUGCAAGCUUAUAUAUACUAGUGACAUGUUAGUGUGUUGGUAAUCUACUCUAACAUAUGAAUGAUAAUGAGUUCAUUAACUACUCAAAUCGAGGUUUCUAUUUUUGAUCUGGGUCAAAGAGCUUCAUUUCUGGUGGUUUUGAACGUAUUGGCUGACAUAGCUUUGUAUUUCCAAUAUAGAUUGAAAAGUUUCCAGACUAAUAAGAAAAAUAGAAAGAAUCCAAAAUGUUGUAAUAAACCUUGAUUUGAUACCAUCUUGGUAUAUUAGACUGAUGUUCCAUUCUACUUGCAGUUUAUAAAAGAGACAAAAGAAUGACAAAUGAUAUGACAUAUAUCAGACAAAUUGUUGUUUUCUAUAAAUUAAUUUGGUCAAUUUGGGGCAACUUUUGUGUCUUCUUAAUAACCAUUCUAAUUGUUUUUGAAAUUUCAAUUUAUUUAGGACCUUAGAUUCAGAUCCAUUUUGGAGUUCCGCAGAAAACAUCAAAUCAUUCUGGGCAUGCUUAUAACAUAUGCUACUGUUUGCUGAAAUCAUUAAUUAACCUAUGAAAUUAUUACCUAAGUCUGUGGCUGCAACUUGUCACAAGAUAAAUUGAGGCCAUUAAGAACCAUUUUCUGAAGGUGGCUGCAGUUUGGGCUGACGGUCAAGUCAGUAGACAGUGCAUAUGUAAUAUAACUGUAUGUAUUUGGAUGCUUAUGCUGUUAGCUAUCCUGUCAUGCAACUGCUUGUGCAGUUUGCUAUCCUAAUUGUAAAACAAAAACUAUUUAAAGGAAAAUGUAUAAUGGAAAAUCAAAUUCAUAAUCAUAUCAGUGUAAUCUUUUCUUUCUUUUUUCUUCUAUUAUUUUAAUGUUCAGUUAAGACCAUUUGAAUGCUCUUUCUCAUUAGAAAGAAUUAAUAGAUAGAAGUUGUUGUCGAACUUUAUCAUUUACAUACAAUAGUUGAUCUACUUUUGUCUACCUAGAAUAUUGACACUAGUUGGCUUCCUUGUGUUCUUGUUGUGUCUCCAUGGGUCGUCGGUACACACGGUAUAUGACAGUCCGCAUAUGUAGUAGGUUUAUUCAGCAAUAGUUUAUAAAUGGAAUGGAACACAAAUGACAUAAGUUAUUAGAAAAAUCCCUUAUUCUGGAAAUAGCAAAAUCUUUUCUUUAGUUGGUAGAUAUGCUAGCGAAAAUAGAAAAAAGACAAAUAUGGAUUGUUUGUGAAUCAUAAAACUGUUUAAAUAUUGUUUUGUCUUGAUCAAGUACUAAGCUUCGGUAAUAUUAUGUUACUUGACAUAAUUUUUCACAUAUUCGUUUUCUUCUAACAUCCAUCCAUCUGGAAUAGAAAAAGCAGAUAAAAUUCAAAGUAUCUUACUAGGUUAGUCGAUAUAUUUAUCUGUAGAUUGAUGUGAGAUUCUAAUACCCCUUCUUUCCCUUUCAUUUGAUGUCAUACUACAGUUCUAAGUUGAGAAUAUGGUAUAUAAGGGCUCACUAUCGUAGUUAUGCUCCUCUCUCUCUCUCUCUCUCUGCUAAUGACAUUACUGAAGUUGUAUAGUGGAGCUUUACUGCUUGCUCUAUGGUCAUAGCUCUAGUUAUAGUUGGCUGCCGGGGUAGCUGAUAAGUUGCUUCCCCAUCUGUCAUAUUUUUGUAUAGUAACGAUAGUUGUCCUUUGCUCAUUUGCAACUUGGAGUGUAGAAGGAUGAAUUGCGGUGGGAGUAACAGUUCAUUUUUAUCUGCCCUCUUACUCUCUUUCUUGUUUCACCUAUUCAGUAAAAGGAAAAUGUAGGAUCCUCUUUGUUGGGCUUGUCUGUGCUUCCUAGAGCAUUUUCUAUACAGACUGAGCCAGAUUCCUUGUGUUUCAUGGAAUCGUUGUCUUAACGAGAAGACCCAUUUGUCAACAAUUGUGAUCCAAUACUUCUAUGCGUGAAAAUAAUUUCUAUAAUAUGCAACUAGGGUGUACUGCCCUCUUUUGUGACUCUAUAUCAUAGGUCUACAAAUUUGGACAUUAACAAAUGUAAAUCCGACAAUAUUUUUAUAUUUCUAGUAUACAAGGAAUUUUCUGUAUGCUGCACUUCCACUUUCCUUUUCAUAUUAAAAAUUUGUUAGACAUUCCUUGAUUAUAGUAAUGCCCAAUGUUGAUUUUAGGAUAUGGCUGGAUUAAUAAGUAAGAUAAAUCGAUCUUCCAUUGGUCCUUUACCUGCGUGCUAUUCUUCCUCCUUGUGAGUAUUCUUGCACCCUUAUAUUUAUUGCAUUGUGAUAAAUUGAUUGAAUUGUGUACUGUCCUAAAAUAGUACUUACUUUAUGGCAUGCCCUCCAUUUUGAUAUAUCAUCAUUUUUAGUGGUUUAAAGUUGUUAUCAUUGAUCUUAUUGACUUGAAAAAUUAAAUUCUGUGGCCUUUUGAACACAGUUUCCGAGUCUUUAACUGUGGUUAUUUUUUGACCAUGAGAAAUUGUAGUGCUUGGAUGCUGUGAUUUCCACUGGAAAAAAAAGGGAUAAAAAGAGGAAAAACUAGCUCAAGAUAAAAUUACUGUAAGGUGUAAUUAUAUUGACAAAAUUCUUCCUUCUAUUUCAUACAGGAAAACACUUAUCAAAAGCAUGUUGAGAAAGAACCCAGAGCAUCGGCCGAAUGUAUGCUUCCUCCUAACUUCUGCCAUUUGGAACGGUCUCCCUCAUGCGCUUACCAUGUGUAUCUAAUGUUUCUUAAAUUUAUAAACAGGCAUCUGAAAUAUUAAGACAUCCAUAUCUGCAACCUUAUGUGAAUCAAAACCGUCCGUUCCCUGACCCAUCACAUGGAAAGCCAUCGCCAGAGAAGUCCAUCCCCACUUCAAACAGUAGUCAGAUAAGCAUGUCCGAAAGUCAAAGCAGCAGCAUCUCCAGCAGUGACAAGGACAGCAUACAUUCUAGUGAGAGAAGCACAUCAGCUCUACCACCGAGUUCUGAUCACAAGUCAGUUGAGUCAAAAAGUGUUUUGACUAAUCAUGGAGUUCAGAAAGACACCACAAGUUCCAAACUAGAGAGACAAGAUUCAGCGAAAUGCAUACAUGUUGAUCAGCAACCAAAGACUGUUAAGAACAUAUUAAUGGCUUUUAAAGAGGAGAGCAAACCUAGAGAAAGCAGCUCACCUGCGAGAGCUAGUCGUCUAAAGAUGGGUGGUGCUCCUGGCAAUAAGAAUGUUCCGGAACCUUACCCUAAGGGCUCCAAACCCAUUAGUGCUACUUCCUCUAGUUCAAAGUCUAAUGAGGUGCUACCAGAUGAACCUGUCAAGACCAACUUUGACUUGGCCAAACAAGCGCAGGCAUGUAAUCCUGGAAAGCAUCUGGUAUGGGCCGAACUACAUAUUUACUGCUUCAAAGAUACUUAUUUGCAUGACUGUCUCUGCAAAAUCUGAACUUUAUGCCCUUUGGAAACCUAAUUUCUUACAUAUAUGCAUCCUUCUGCUUACAAAAAUAUUUUUGAAAAACAUUUUCUAGUACCAAACCAAAUUUUCCUCAUUAAUUGGAUGACUUCCUACUUAAAGAUGAGGCUUUGUUUUUUUAUUUAAAUUUUCAAUGUGUGUGUAACCACUGCACUUUUUGGGGUAUAUAUAUAUAUAUAUAUAUAUAUAUAUAUACACACGUAUAACUCAGUUGGUAUGCUUCUGAAAGCACCAAGGUCGUGAUGCUUUCCUUAGAUUUACCUUUUGGGCCAUUGGAUUAAAAGCGAACAAUGGUGAUUACUUGUGGAGCUCACCAUUAUGCAUGAUCCAAGGGCAGUUAGGGUUGAUCCAAUGGCCAAAAGGUUGUAGCUCCAACUCCUUGGUGCUUUUGAAAGCACCCUAGCCAGACUCACUCUCUCUCUCUCUCUCUCUCUCUCUCUCUCUCUCUCUCUCUCUAUAUAUAUAUAUAUAUAUAUAUAUAUAGAGUAGGGCUAGAAUACUUGUAAAAGUAUCAUGGGGGUGAUACUUGUGUGUUUUUAGCCCUUGGAUAGAGAGAUGUGAGGUUGAGAUGAUGGUGGUAGGUGGUGGUAGGUGGAAUAGUGUUUAAUCCAAGGGCUAUUAAUAAUCAAAAAGUAGAUCCAAUGGCUUAAAACCUAAUAGCACCAUGAUGGUGAUACUUGUAAAAGUAUCAUAGCUNAGCCUUUCAUUUGAUGCAGUUACCUAUUAUUGACACUUCUCCGAAAGUCAAGCCUAAAUAUGAUAUGGUAUCACCAACUGAACCUAUCAAACAUGUUGUGGCUGAUGGUAUCUCUGCUAAGACAAAGCAAAGACCUCCACCUUCUAGUAUUCAUAAAAGGCCGGCUAUUUCUGCCCAUAGACCAGCUGGUGCAGACAGCCCAAGCCCUCCAAAUACAGCAAUUACAAAACCAGUUCCCAUCAAGACGACUUCUGAGCGUGAGAAGAGUCCAUUCCCCCGUAGCCCCAACAACAUCAUCAGCCAAUCCCCAGAGCCUGAAAAGCCUUCUUUAACCCCUUCGGGAGUAAAACAUGCUGAAACAAGCAAUUCAGCUGUAAAACCUCUUCCUAUCAAGGAAUCUCUGCCUAUUGUGGCCAAGGAACAUAUGGGCAAGUCCGAGCAUACCAAUGAAGUUGGGCUUUCUGAGAUUUCAUCGUGCUCGUGUUCCCAGCCCCGGUCUCCUUCUGUAGAAGAGCGUGAUAUUAGACCUUCAUCCAGUCCAGAACCCAUUGCAGAGGUUCUUCAAAAGAGCACUAAUAGUAACGAUGAAAUGAGCUUGAGCUCCCUUCUAGAACCAUCAUUCCCGAACUCUGAUCAAGAAUUUGUUUGUAAAGAUGAUUUACCACUCAGUAAGCCGGAGCAGAACACCAUUGCUAUGCAAAGUGGUGGUGACGACAAGUUCACCGUUAGAGAAUUGCUCUCGUCCAUCACUGAUGUCGUCCCCUUUGUAGCAGCUGCUACGAAAAACACAGCAAUGGAGAAAGGAUCAAUCCCUAAUCAGGCAUUGGAGAAAACAGUGGCUCCUCAUCUAACCCCGGCUUUCGACGAUGUCAUACACGUCAUACGCCACAGCAGCUUCCGCGUUGGUAGCGAGCAGCAAACGGCUGUAGAGAGUGUCGAAAUGGGCGUCGCCAACAUGGAUGUGGGUAAGCUAUUGAAUGUGGUAAGAGAAGAUGUGGAUGUUAGAAGCAUUUCACCAAGUCUAAGACCCCCCACCAAUAUCAUCAAAGAAAAGCCAAACAGCUCAGAAAAUGUUAAUAAAUCAAACACAGUGGAAGUUAGGCCAAAUUCUUCUUCGGAGGCGAGUGGUGGACCGAAGGAAGAGGAAACUCCAGCUAAAGAAACUUUGGAUGUGAAAUCAUUUAGACAGAGAGCUGAGGCACUUGAGGGGUUGUUAGAGCUCUCUGCGGAACUGCUACAGCACAAUAGGCUUGAAGAGCUCGCCGUUGUUUUGAAGCCAUUCGGGAAGGAUAAGGUCUCUCCGAGAGAAACCGCAAUAUGGUUGGCGAAGAGCUUCAAAGGGAUGAUGAAUGAGGAAGCCGGCCGCGCUAUGUGAGAGUCCCUUUUUGCAGUUGUUUUAUUUACCCUCAUUCAUCUCUAAGAGAUUGUUACAGAUGCAUUAUUGCUUGUUGUGGAUCUGUGUCCUCCUUGUUUACCCUCCAGUUUCUUUUUUCUUUUCCUUCUAUUUCUCUUUUUCUUUGUAUUCUUUGCAGAGUAUGAUGUAAAUAGUCAGAUCUGUGAACAAAAUAAAGACUUGUUGAAACGGAUGGUGGAAGAAUUUACAUUAUCCACUUUAUGCGGGACGAGUAAGAUUAAUAUGAGUUAUAUAUGGUAUGUUUUUAUGAUAUUUUGAGAAACGUUCUUUGGUAUGAUAGGAUUCUUGUUAAACAGUGGUAGUAAUGUUCCUGAGAAUAGAAAUAAGCGAAGGGAACACUUGUUAAAUUGUUGCUUUUUUAGGAGAGCUUUUGCCUAGUCUUUUACCUUUUGUUUGGACGCAUGAAUAUCUUUGUCGGUAUAUCUUCUUAUUUAAGAAAUUUGAACAUAUUGGUAGAUGAGGAAUGUAAUUGGAUCUCUUGAAUUAAAUAUUAGGGAAAACUUCAAAAAGCCCCUCUGUGGUUUCACACUUUUUCAUUUUAGUACCCUAUGGUUUAAAUUGUAUCAAGUUAGUACCCUGUGGUUUCUCACUUUAUCACUUUAGUACCUUGUGGUUUAAAGUGUAUCAAAUUAGUACGUUGUGGUUUUGUACUUUAUCACUUUAGUACCCUGUGGUUUCACACUUUAUCACUUUAGUACCCUAUAGUUUAAAAGAUCACAGGGUACUAAUUUGAUACAAAAUCAAAACCAUAGGGUACUAAAGUGAUAAAAUGCAAAACUACGGGGUACUAACUUGAUACACUUUAAACCACAGGGUACUAAAGUGAUAAANAUGAAUAUCUUUGUCCGUAUAUCUUCUUAUUUACUUAAGAAAUUUGAACAUAUUGGUAGAUGAGGAAUGUAAUUGGAUCUCUUGAAUUAAAUAUUAUAUUUGUUCUUCAAAUUAUUUUUUCGGAUAAGAUAGAUUAUCUUGUAGGUAAAGUGUGCCAUCAUAUUAGAUUAUAGAUUACAACAGGAAGGAAAUUUUUUUUUCAUUCAAUUAUACUAAAUAUUUCGUAGCGAAUUAAUUAUUUUUAAAUAGUUUAUUUCGGCAUUCAAAUAUAACCUUAGGGUGUGUUUGGUUCAAAAUGGAAAAUGGAAUAAAAAUUAAAAUCGGAAUAGACAAGAAUCGGAAACAGAAUAAUAAAAUCUCUCAAUAUGUUUGGUUCAAAUAACAAUUGAAAUUAGUACGGUUGAUUCCUAUUUUCAAUAAUAAAAAUAAUUCAUUAUCAUAAAAUAAUUAAAAUAAAAUUAAAAUAUAAAAUAAAAAAUAAUUUAAAAUUAGGCUUGCACCUCAAUAUAUUAAAUUAAAUUUAUAAUUUAAAUUCAAACUAAAAGUUAAAUAUUAAAAAUUUACGUCAAAAUAUUGAAAUGAUAAGCCAAAGUUUAAAUAUAAUUUUUUAAUUUUUUAAUAUUUAAUAUUGAGUGGACAAUUCAAAAUAUAAAACUAAUUUUUGAUUUGAUUGAGAUUCUAACUUAUAAUUAAAUUUAAAUUUAAAUUUAUAGAUUGAAUUCAAAAUGCUUGAUUGAAUUUAUAUUUUAAUUAAUUUCUAAAUAAAAAUCUAGAAAUAAAAAUUUAAUUUCUAAAUUUAAAUUUAAUUUUUAAUUAAAAUUAAAUUCAAAAAAUUAAAUUAAUUUUAAAUAUAAAAUAUAUAGUAUAAUUGAGAUAUUUUUUUUUAAAGUGUAUUCUUUUUGUCUGGAUUCAACUUUCAAUCUGACCACCUAAACUGAAUUGAAAAAAGGGAUGUUUAGAAAAUUUUCAUUCACCCGAGAAUCGGAAUCGAAAUCGAACUCUGGCAUACUAAAUACUCACAAACGUUCAUUCCGAUUUCUAUUCCUGGAUAAAAAAUGGACGAACCAAAUACGCUCUAAGAUUAUAUCGGUUGGACUUGACAUAGGCCCUCAUAAGUGACAAUUUUCAAUUUUAAGUAAGAGCAGAUGGAAUAUUGACUUACAUAUUUAACUUAUUGAGAUAUGAAUGGGAACAAAAAUAUUAAACCUAAUGAAAAUUAUACUAUUCAACCAACCAUCCACUCAAUCCUAGGGGGCCCACAUUAUUCUAACCGCACAUCCCUUAAUCCAAAGGCCAAAAACUUACAAGCACCAAUGACUUGAUACUUUUAAAAGCAUUAGAGCUCAAUUCAUAUAUAUAUAUAUAUAUAUAUAUAUAUAAGUCCGGCUACUAUACUAUCGGUGCACGGGGCCUCCCGUGUUACCAAGUUAUUUUCGAUGAUGCGACUUCCAAAUUGACGAUCGGCUCCGUUAGAGUUGAUCUACACUAUUAAAAGUAUUUGGAAACUAAAUUUUCUUAUUUUUCGAUAUUUAUUAUUAUCAAACAAAUAGUCUAAAAUUGAACGGCUGAAAAUAAAAAUCUCAUAAAAAUGUAUGAUAAAAAAUUUAAAUUCAAGAUCAGAUAUACUGAUCUUACUCUAAAUAGUGAAAAGAAUUUUCCAUAAAUAUUUCAUCGGAUUUGGAUUGUUUUACACCGUUAAACUCACAAACGCGUCCACAUCAGCCAUUAAAAUGGUCAAUUUUGAGAUCUUUUGAUCACUAUGUCAAAUGAUGUCGAAAUUAUGAAAUUUAGUUUCAAAUACUUUUAAUAUGUGUAGAUAAGUUCUAACGAGCCGAUCGUCAUUUGGGAAGGCGCAUCAUCGAAAACAACUUGGUAGCACGGGAGGUCCCGUGGCUACGAUAGUAUAGCGCAGCUGACUCAUAUAUAUAUAUAUAUAUAUAUAUAUAUAUAUAUAAUAUUAUAUAUAUAUAUAUAUAUAUAUAUAUAUAUAUAUAAUAUAUAUAUAUAUAUAUAUAUAUUAAACAUAAUGAUCACAAUGUUUCUUCCACGUGGCAGAAAACACCUUCAUUCUUAGGUUAAUAAUAAUAUCUAUCUCUUAUUAUGAAUCCCCAAUAUAAAAUUUACGUUUUUCUCCACUUUAAAUGUGUAACCCUUCACCUCUCCAUAUUUAAUUACAUGCAUUAUAUUUCACCAUUAGUGAGAUUGUAACUCCAAUCCACUCCCCUCCACUAUUAAUCCUCACCUUCUAAAUGCUAUGCUAAACCAUUUAUCUUCCAUAUUUUAAUUGCAUGCAUCAUAUUCUAUCAAUUAGUGAGUUUUGUAAUUCCAAUCCACUCCCUUCCACCAUUAUCUCCACUUCUUUAAAUGCUCAACCCUUCACCUCUCCACAUUUAAUUACAUGCAUUAUAUUUCAUCGAUAGUGAGCUUUGUAACGCAACUACUCCCUCUACCAUUAAUCCCUCACCCCUCUUUCUUGCAUGACAUGUUAUUUUCAUGCAAAAAGAAACAUUAUCAUCUAAUCUCUCACCCCACACUCAUCUCUUCUCUCUAUCUCAUUAUGCUUAACAAAAUUAUGAGAUGAUAAAGAAGAAGAACAUGCGAAGAACGUUGUCUUCUUCAAAAUAUGAUCGUCCUGUAAAGUCCAGCCGCGGCCCAUAUAAAGUGCUCGCUGGCUGGUCUGACCGGAGCUGUCGUCGCGUGAACCGCCGGCCUCGGCUGCUUCCUGCACGGCUCGCACGCGCCAGCAACUAGGCGAGGGAGCGCCGUCCUAGCCUCCUCUUCAACGGCGACGUUUUGGCGGCGGAGCUCGCUUCUCCAGAAUCGUAGGAACUUCUUGGUAAAUCAAAUUGUUUAAGAAUAGAAUUUCUGUGGUGAUGUGAUGGCAAAGCUAUAUCGGUUUAAUAAUUCGCAGUUUGGUGAUGCAGCUGAGGUUUGUUCAUAGGUUACAUAGAAAUCCAGAAAUGACUCGGCGCGCGGAGCAACUCCAGCUGAAGAUUAAGAGAUGUAUGAGAUUUGGAUGAGUUAAGAGAAGUCUCCAAAAAAAUAUUAAUUUUUUUAAGAUGAUGUUUAUUUUAUUUUCAUAUUAUGAUCUUUUUUUUGAGUAGACACUGUUGUGGGCAAAUUUCUUUCGUAGAUUAAAAGUAUGAUGUGAGAUUGGAGCCUGAGACGCCAAUCAAAAUUUCUUAAGCCAGAUACGUUAAGUUAUUAUUUAUGUAUUUCAUAUGCUUCUAGCUAUUAUUUUAUUUUUUAAUAACUAAUUUAGUCAUGCAAAUGACUGUGCUUAAAUUGAUAUAGCUUUUAUAAAGCUGUAAAUAUAAAUUUUAUUAAAAUAUUAAAAUUUAUUUUUUAUAUCUACCCGCUGCAUCGCGCGGGUCUCUACACUAGUAUAUAUAUAUUUAUAUAUAGUAUAUAUUAGCAUUGAGCUCCUAUGCUUUUUAACGUACCAAGUUAUUGGUGCUUGUAGAUUUUUAGUCCAUUUGAUUAAAGAUAUGCGGUUAGGAUGAUGUGGGCCCUCUAGGGUUGAGUGGGUGGUUGGUUGAAUAGUAUAAUCUAAUGAUCGAAAAUGAUCUGAGGAGUAGAUCUAACGGUGAAAAACUUACAAGCACCAAAUGCUUGGUGCUUUUACAAGCACCAUUAGCGGACUUCUCUCUCUCUAUAUAUAUAUUAUAUAUAGUCUAGUGCGUUCUAUACUAUCGGUGCACGGGCAUCCCCGUGCUACCAAGUGUUUUCGAUGAUGCGGCUUCAAAUCGACGAUCGCUCCGUUAGAUUGAUCUACACUAUUAAAAAUAUUUGAAUUAAAUUUCAUAAUUUUUCGAACAUCAUUUGACUAGUGAUCAAAAGAUCUCAAAAUU